This 78149-nucleotide long non-coding RNA is filed under the name Coffea arabica (coffee). RNAcentral's name for it is "long non-coding RNA (CARA_LNC007558)". The record is from RNAcentral. Lineage: Eukaryota; Viridiplantae; Streptophyta; Magnoliopsida; Gentianales; Rubiaceae.
GCAACCCUCCAUUUUCCACCUUUUUUUUUUUCUGUAAAUUCAGUUUUACUUGGAAUUUGUGAGUUGUGAUUCUGAGUGGAGUGGUUGUCCUCGAUUUUCUAAGUUUGUGAGGAGGAUAUUCUUUUAACUUUUCCUAUAUUUACAAAAGAGUUGACUAUUCAAGUUAGAAACCUUUCUUUACCUCUUUUUUCUGCUCUUUCCUCAAAGUACUGAAGAACAUGAAUUCUUGUGGUCUACUGAGAAUUAAGGUUUGCAAAGGCAUCAACCUCGCUGUUCGUGACACUGUUAGCCAUAGCAGUGACCCUUAUGUCGUCGUCAGCCAUGCUGGCCAGGCCUGUCAUCUUCCCUAUUACUUUUUCUACUGGCUAUUCUUGUUUUUUUUGGCUCUCUAAUCAUAUCAUGUAUUGCUUGUAUCUUAUAUGAUUGAUAUGGCCUUUUAAUUUGUGGGUUUUUUCUGUGAUCAUUCAAAUCAUAUUGGGUUUUUUCUUUAUUUCCAAAGAUUGCAAUUUUGGUGGUUUAUCUCGUCGAAAUCGGCAUCGGUUGCAAGUUGAAGUAGUAGAAUUAGAAGGCCAUGUUAAUUAGAAUUAACCAACCAGAUUGAUUUUCUAAUUAAAAUAUUAGUUGAAGAAGAAUAGGAAAAAGAUAAAGAAAUUAGGUCUAAAUACGAAGACAUAUAGAAAUUCCAAGAUUCUUUUUUUUUUUAAUUUUUUGAAACUGAAUAUAAGAUUGAUGCUGGAGGAUACCUGCAACUGAGGAAAAGGAUAAGCCAAGAAUGAGAAGCAUAGCUGAAUAAGGGGGAUUGUGAACUGAGCUAGUGGCAUUUAUGCCAGAAAGUUAAGUUUACCAGUUCAUGGUGGAAGUGCUGUUUGGCCUAUUUGUAGUUAGGCUAUCAUGGUUUUGUCAGCUAAAUGCUCAAAAAUGUUGAUUGAAUUUCAAGAUACUGAAACUGAAAGUUCAAUUUCAAUGUUUCUUUUCGUUCUUGCAUUAUACUUUAGUUUAGCGGCUGCUUAAUUUGUUUCUUUCUUAUUUAAUAGAGCAAACUUUUGGUUGUUCAUAACAUUUUCAAAUAUGGCAUUGCAAAUGCUUUGCUUUGUUAUUUGAUAAGCUUCCCAUUUCUGGACAGCUAAAAACGUAAUUGGUUGAUUACAAAGGGAGAGAUGCAUGCUGUUGGAAUAUGCUUCAAGUUAUAUGUAAAGUUAAAUUACUAUGCAUGGUUCAAACGUCAAAAACACCUGUUCACUUAGUUUUAGCGCUGCUAGUACCAAAUUGACUUGGCAAGUGAACUCGCUGCAUAGAGAUGGUGUUUCAAUUUUCCUUCACCGUUCACCACCAACAAAAUACUGGCCAGCUAUUUUAAGAAUUUGUAGAUGUUGGAUAGUCUUAAUGAACGUGCUUACAAUGUGCUUAUUCUGCUGAAUAAUUUGGUGAUUGAGGAAUUUGAUCUGUUAUCCCCCUGAUGGCUGCAAGACAAGUUUAGUAGUGAUUACUGAAUUUUCUUCAAUCAUUUAGAUCGUAGGAUCGUGUACUGCUUCUCAUGACGUAAAGUUUAUUGCAGACUGUGAAGACAAGUGUGGUGAAUAAAAACUGCUCCCCUGUUUGGAAUGAAAGUCUGACUCUUAGUUUGAAGGAUCCUAAUGUCCCAUUUGUUCUGGUAAGUCACAUUUUUCUUUUCCUUUCUUAUUGAGUGUCUGCAAUGAACAUCCGUGACUUGAAUGGAUCUAGGUCGGCAGUCUUGCCAAACUGAUAGUAUAAAGCAAUGAGUUCAAGUUUAUGUUCUCUCUGCAUUGUGCUUAAUCAAAAGUGUGUGUUCCUUUGUACAUCUGUCUUGCCUUCUGGAGGACCAAAAUAUGGUGAUCGUCAUGUAUGACUUCCACUGAUUAACAAUGGAUUUUGUGUAUUUCAGAGAGUAUUUGAUAAAGACACGUUUACAGGAGAUGAUCCAAUGGGAGAUGCAGAAUUCAACGUGAAACCGUUUCUCGAGUGUUUGAAAAUGGGUUUGCAAGACCUCCCAGAUGGGACUAAAGUUGACAGAGUUCAACCGAGCCACGACAAUUGCCUUGCAGAUGAGAGCUGCAUUGUUUGGAACCAGGGUAAAAUGUUCCAAAAGAUGAUACUUAGGUUGAGAAACGUGGAAUGUGGUGAAGUAGAAAUACAACUUGAAUGGCUUGAUUAUCCUGGAUUUAGAGGCUAAAAGCAAGACUGAUUCCUUCGCUGUUGUGUGCUUGUGAUUCGAGGGCUGAUGAUGAAGGCAUACAAUCUAAGUUCUUGCUGUAUAUUUAUGGCUGUUCCUCAUGUAAUGUUUGAGAGCUAAGGCAUGACCCUCACAGGAAACUAUGUCGGCCUCUUGUAUGGCUAUUGUUCAGGUUACUGCUUUGCUGGUGUUGCUAUAACAAAUAUAACCUUUUCUGUUUCUUUACUUGGGAGGGGGAAUGAAGGAAGCAGAAAAGGAUAACGGGAAUAAGAGAAUAUUGAAUCCUUGCUUCAAGACGAUCGAGAUGAAUAAGGCCCUUAACUAUUCUAACUGAAUAUAACAUAUUUCUCAGCAAGAAAUUUGAGAAUUUUUUUUUUUUUUUUUUAAAAUUUACAAUCAAGAACUGAAUUCGCCCUGGCUGAUGUUAUUUUCUCUUUCGACAAUUAACAGCAGAAAUUGAUUAGAUGCCAUUUUUCUCUUUCAACAUUUACCCCUGAUUUCCUUUUUUUCUUUAGCUGUGAUAUUAUUUGCUUGACGUUGACAAGAAUUGGUUUUUUUUUUUUAAUUUUAUUUUGAGCUUGAUCAAAUUGAAGGGAAAAAAAAUUAAUCUGGCGUUAUUCCCAUGUUCUCCUCGUCAAGCAAUAAGGAACUUGGCAUAUUCUUGAACAACCUUCACUACCUUUUUUGAGUCAAUCAGUCAUAAGAUCUUGUAUCUCUAAACUUCAUUUGGAUAAAUUACUUCAGAAAAGCUACACAAAAACUGUUCUUGAUUUAGAAUAUGUCAGAGACUUUUUUUCUCUCAUAAAUAAAAUAUCUCAAAGACUUGAAUAAUCUAAUUUUCAUUUAGUUACUUGAAAUUCUUGGGACCAACAGAUGUGUUCCCUAAUUCUAGUUAUAUACAGAUCUCAUUUUCAAAUUCCAGGAAAUAAUGCUCAGUAAUCCAGUCCUCGAUCCGAAUUUCGAAUUUGACUUGGCAUUCCGGUUAAUCCCUACAGAAAAGGGAACCCCCCCCAAUUGGAUUAUUAGGUGUCGUGGAAUAUACGAUUUUUGUGUUCGAUAGAAGUAUCAAUCGCUGAAGAAGAUAUGCAAGAAAAAAAUCUCAGGGCAUUUGGAAGUUUGUUCUCAGAUAUUUCAUCCUUUGCAGGAGAUACAUAUGCAAACUGUAAGGUUAUGGUUUAUUCACCAAUAAAUCUUAUCUUCCUAACUUUCAACCCUUGUCCAAAUAUCAUCACCAUUACACGCUUUGAAAAUAAACUAAGGGCGCCAAGUUUGAAGCAAAUAAUAACAAUGGCUUCUUCCACUUCAACACAAUCACAAUCCCUACAAGGUCUAAUUUCCAAAACAAGCUUUCCAUCACUUCCAAUAAAUAAACCAAUAUUGCACAAUACAAAUUUCAAGAUUUCAUUCCCAUUUCCCUCUAGACAAUCUUUACUACGCGUCGAAUCUUCCAGCACUGUAAAGUCCAAUGAAGUUGUGGUGGAUGAAGAAAUGGAUAAAAUUAGAAGACUGCAAAAUGGCUCGGACGUUCGUGGGGUGGCUCUAGAAGGCGAAAAGGGGAGGACGGUCGACCUAACGCCUCCCGCCGUGGAGGCGAUCGCAGAGAGUUUUGGUGAAUGGGUUGUGGAGAGAUUGGAGGAGGAGAAAACAAAUGGAAGUGUGGAAAAUGUUAGGGUGUCACUUGGACGUGACCCUAGAAUUUCAGGUGCAUCCUUAAGUGCUGCUGUUUUUGCUGGUCUUGCUCGUGCUGGUUGUCUGGCUUUUGAUAUGGGGCUUGCAACUACACCGGCUUGCUUCAUGAGUACAUUGUUGCCUCCAUUUAUGUAUGAUGCUUCCAUCAUGGUAUGGAAAAACAGCUCCGUGUUUUUGAGCUUGUUAUGCAUACAUAUAAAAAUUGCAUAGACUGAUUUCUUCAAUGAUUUUGCACUAAAACUAUUGUUAAACAUAGAUAUCAAGUCUUGAAGCUUUUAAGGAAAAUAAUAAAAUUUGUAGAAAAUGCCUUUUGAGACCGUGUAGGAGAAGUUUGUGAAGACAAAACUUUUUAAAGCUAACUAUUGUUUCCUUUUGCUUUCUAAGUGAUGCUAUGGCUAUGAUUUCCUGAAACAUGAUUUCAAGAAACCAGAUGGUAAUCUUGCUCUUCAACUUUGGUAAAGUCGAACUUCAAAAGACACUUGAUUUUCACAUAUACUUUUCUUUCAUCUGAAAUAAGUUAAAAGCAAAAUUAAAAUCCCGCUGGGAAACUAUAGUCUUUAAAAAUAGUUCAAGGCUUUAAGCAAAUGAGAGAAAAUGGGAAAAUACUACUACUAGGCUUUGGAUGUUUCUUUUAGUCUGUAUUAGUAUGCUAAUAUGUGGAAGAAUUGAGAACUAUAACAUGAUGCAGAUGACAGCCUCUCAUUUGCCGUACACCCGGAAUGGUCUGAAAUUUUUCACCAAGAAUGGAGGCCUGACAUCGCCGGAUGUGGAGGAAAUAUGCUACAGAGCCGCCCGGAAAUAUGCUAAUAGACUUGCAAAAGUGUCAACUGCUCUCCGGAAUCCACCAAAACGAGUGGAUUUCAUGAGCACUUAUGCAAAACACCUCAGAGAUAUCAUCAAGGAAAGAGUUAAUCAUCCCUUGCAUUAUGACACUCCUCUCCAAGGAUUUCAGGUUGGAAAUUUUAGCACAAUCUUUAUUUAGUUUGUGACUGAAAAAUUCUCCUGCACGAGUUGUUUUUCCCUUGUCCUCUUUCAUUCAUGUGCAAUGGUGGUUCCACUUACCUCAUCUAUGUUGGAAUCAAUUGUUAUACUAGCAAGUGAACAUUGGCCAUAAAAAUUGCAUGAUUGUCUGUGUUGUUAGGGUGAAUAUUAACCUUUGUUUGAUUUAUUUAUUUAUCUUUCCAUCCUUUUCUACACCCUUCUUAUUUUUAACUGUCAGACACAAGAUUUGAAUCCUGAAUCUGACAGUAACGAAGACUCCAAGAACUCUUUCUUGUCUCUAGACCCUAGUGGUUAGGAUGAAUAUUGUCUCUAGACCCUAGUGGUUAGGAUGAAUAUUAACCUAAAAUACGUGAUUGAAAUAUACGAAUUUUAUCUGAUUAAUUUUUUUAAAAGUAAUUUUGCGUUCGUCUGAUUUAGUAAAAUGAACUACUACCUACCAAUAUUUUGAUUAAAGAACUUACUACGAUAUAAUAACGAAACUUUGGGCUCAGCCUAAUACUUUUGUCCAAAUAAAAUAACUGCAACCAGAGUGUCGGCCCACGCUCUUCCGGACCCCAACAGUCAAUACGCUUGCAACACAGGCUGGCCAGAAAUAGCAAAUGAAACGUAAGGCCCAUUCUAAAACAAAAUGAAAAUUUGUUCUUAAAAAGAAAAUGAAAGAAGGAAAGAUAUAUGGGUACCUUCAAUUUACUUACUCUAUACGGUGUUUUUUUGGGUAAAUUACAGAGUCUUUUUUAUUUAUUUUUCUUCUUAUUUGGGAUGCAUAUGGAGGAAAUCUGAUGAAAUUAAUGCAGAUAAUUGUGAAUGCUGGAAAUGGAUCGGGAGGGUUCUUUACAUACGAUGUCUUAGACAGGCUAGGAGCAGAAACAUUCGGUUCUCUACACCUCAAUCCAGAUGGAAUGUUCCCUAACCACAUUCCUAACCCUGAGGACAAAACUGCCAUGGCCUUAACAAGGGCUGCAGUUCUUGAAAACAAAGCUGAUCUUGGCAUAGUUUUCGACACCGAUGUUGAUCGAAGCGGCGUCGUUGACAGCUCUGGGAACCCCAUAAAUGGUGACAAACUCAUAGCACUGAUGUCUGCCAUUGUCCUGAAAGAGCAUCCUGGAACUACAAUUGUGACUGAUGCACGAACAAGCAUGGCCCUGACUAGAUUCAUCACUGACAGAGGAGGUCAGCAUUGCCUGUAUCGAGUUGGAUAUAGAAAUGUGAUUGAUAAAGGAGUUCAGCUUAAUAAGGAUGGGAUGGAGACUCAUCUGAUGAUGGAAAUUACUGGCCAUGGUGCUCUCAAAGAAAACCAUUUCCUUGAUGAUGGUUAGUGUAUUUCUUCUACGGAAAAUAUCAAGAUUGCAGACACUGUAACUUUCAAACUUAAAAGACAUAUAUUAAUAGUUUUCUAACAUAUCUCAUGUAACUCAGUCUCUCAAUCUGAUUCUAACUUUAUCCCUAAAUUUAAAAUAAACAUUCUCCCGAUUUCUUAAAAUUACUGGGGUUUACAUUGUCUUUUUGAAUUUGAAAAUCACAAUGUCUGUAAUGCAACUAUUGUCCUUGUUCUAUAUAUAAACCUGAAUCUUAAAUUUUGGCAUGGAUUCUUGAUAUGCACUUUACAUUGAGUAAAUCAAGCGAUGUGGUUGAAUUUUGCAGGUGCUUAUAUGGUUGUGAAGGUCAUCAUUGAGAUGGUAAGAAUGAAGCUUGAGGGCUCAGGUGAUGGAAUAGGUAGUCUUAUUAAAGAUCUUGAAGGGCCCCUGGAAUCAGCAGAGCUUAGGAUGAAUGUCAUUUCUGAGCCAAGGUUUGCAAAAGCCAAAGCCAUUGAGGCCAUUGAAACAUUCAGAAACUACGUUGAGGUACAUAUCUAUUACUUUGUGCUAAAAAAGAACAAGGAAAAUAGCAAGAACCAUAUCUGGUCAAAUCUUUAGUAUACUUUAUGCUAAAAGAAUGGUAAAUUAUUUGCAGGAAGGUCAGUUGCCAGGCUGGGAUUUAGACUCUUGUGGAGAGUGUUGGGUAAGUGAUGGCUGCCUUGUGGACACCAACGACACUCCAGCAGCUGUUGAUGCUCACAUGUACAGGUGCCAAAAGUUUUCAAACUAAUGCUCUGCCUCCUUUUUUUCUUUGGGGCUCCUUAAUCAAUCUCUCCUUUUCCUCUGACAAAUUUCCGCACAAAAAUUACAGCCCCUUCCCUUAAAUCCGUAUGAUGUAAAAGAAUUGGUCACCUAAUUUGAAAAACAUAAAACUUUUUCAAUGGUCAGGUAGAUCUUUAGGUUGCAUCAUUGUCUUUUAAAUCUUAGGUUAUGGAUGCACCAUUGCUUUUGGCGAGAAUGGCUCAAGCUGCUCCUAAUCUAUUUAUCAUAAAAUGUUAACACCUUGACAAACUCUACAUAAUUGUAGUCCCUUUAUUGCUAAAUACAAAUUUGCUCAAACUCCAGGGCCAAAGUUUCUGACAAGGACAAUGCAGAACUUGGAUGGGUACAUCUUAGACAGAGCAUUCACAAUCCAAAUAUAGCUGUGAAUUUGCAAUCCAACGUACCAGGAGGUUGCCAAUUGAUGUCAAGAGACCUCAGGGACAAGUAAUUUCCAUUACUUCAUUAACACUAUUGAUUUCUUGGCUUCAUAUUAGUACUCUCGAAAUUUUGAUUCAUUCAGCCAAUUUAUCUAUGCUUUGAUUCGGAAUUUCAGGUUUCUUUUGGCAAGUGGGAUGGAUAGAAUUCUCGAUAUCAGUCAGAUUGACAAGUAUGCCAGAAGCGGAAGCGUUUGAUGAUAUGCAAAGCCUUGUGGAAAAAUCAAGCAUAGAUGUAUAGUAGAUAGUAUGCAUAUAGAAGCAUAGAUGUAUAGUAUAUAGUAUACAUAUAGAAUAUUAGACCCGUGAAUUGUACCUACUUGUACAGUACGAACCCUUUUAUUGUAACAUUCAUAUACUUUUGAUCACUCAUUCAGUAACCAUACCAAUUAUUGUAAACAUUGACAAUUUGAGAUGGAAAACUCAACUUGGCCAUGCCAAGGGUAAUUCAUGCAUAUUUUCCUUCUCUUUUUGUGGCUUUUGACGGUUGUGGUAGCUAAGGUUAUGCUUCUUAUCAUAAGCCAUUGGCAAAUGUUGAUCCAUCCUUCUUGGUAUCACAACGAUUUGUGCAUAAAAGAGACAAAUGAAUUUUUACACGAUAGAUCAUAAAAAUGCUAAAAUGAAAAUUAUUUUAGACACAUAUGGCAUGUAUUCUUGACUGGUUUUACAUUGAAAUUCCUGAUCAAGAAGCUUAUGAAGCUUGAAAAUGAUCUUGGUUCUUGAGGAAGUAAGCAUCAAUUAUGUUACUAACUUCACUUGCAAAGUCAAACAUGUGAUCAGGAGCAGGGACAUCUAAAUUCUGCUUCUCAUACUCGUAUGUCCAAUUAAGAAAAUUCUUUGCACCUUUUGAAGUUGCUUGGAAAGUUAUUAGCAAGCUCUUAUAAUCCUUCAGAAGAUCACCCUCAAGAAUUCUGUAAGUCAUUGACCUGUUAUCUUCAUCAACAGUUUCAAUGGUCUCCUUUACCGGAAUUAGUUUGCCAUCUUCAAUUAAUACACAUGAUUACAACAUGAACCAAAUUAGGAAUGAAAAUCAACAAAAAAAAAAAAAAACAUUGCAUAUUUAUACAAGGUCUACGCUCUUUAAUAUAAGAAGUCCAUGCAGGCCUUACCAAUCAAGUAAUUUACCAAAAGUUUGCAUCCUACUUCUCCCCAGUUUCCUUCAAGUAAUUCGAUGCUAGGAAGUUUGUCAGGGCAGAUGCUUGGCAGAUAUUGUUUCUUGCUGCCAUAAAUUUCGAAGAAAAGUAUUCCAGGAGAUGAGAUCUCCUGCUCGAACACUAGCUUGCCCCUAAGACUCAUUCUUGUCUGGACAAUUUGAAGAAUAAAGUUCCCUUUGAUCUUUAUAAACUUGUAAAAUGUAGUUAUUUUAUUUCUGAGCAGAAAGUUUAAAAUCAUAUUUUGGGAUUGAGAUCUAUGAUUGAUUGCUUUUCCACGAGGCAGUCAUGAUCUGAAUGGUUGAUCCCUUGAUUAAAAACAAAAAAACAAAAAUACGCUUGAUCACCUAACCUCCUAAUUGGUGUUUUUUCUAGCCUCCCACUCUGAUUUCCUUUUUCAAGAAUAGGACAUCACAACUCCUAAUUGGUAUAUUUUACUCUCCACUCUGUUUAUCUUUUUCCAAGAAAAGGACGUGCGCCAACAAAAUAAGCUGAUUUAUCAUGACAAGAUUUUGUUACACAACUUUCUUUAGAACAGCAAAGCAAAGGGUAUCACAGAUGCUUUUGCUAGAGAAAUUGUCAGCAGAGGUGGAUGAUUACAAUCAAUGCUAUCACAGAUGUUAGUUCCAUGACUAUGAAGUUUUUGUGUUAAUGACAAUGUACAAAUUAACAUCAAAUUGAAUAUGGUUUUUGUCAGCUCAUUAAUAUCUAGUUUUAAUUUGUGUUAUUCACAAAAAGAGAAAAAUUAUUGCAUAUCUCUAUCUCCAAACGAAAAAUUCUACAAAGUAAACCUGAUAAUGCAAUGGACACAAACUUAAAAAGCAAGUAACAUGUUUGAUCUGUUUUCAACAAUGGGCUAGAGGUUACAAUGGAGGUUUAGCUGGUAGGCGUCCCUUUGCCAUUUACUAAAACCAUUGGUGGCUACUAGCUAGCCACUUUUUAAAAUCUUAGGGACCUGGUGCAAAGCACAUAAAAUUCGAUUCUUAUUUGAAGGUGAAGGACCUGGUGCAAAGCACAUAAUUUUUGGUCUAUUAAGCCUGCCUUCGUUACAAUUUGAUCAAACAACAUAAGAUGAAAGCUAUAAUAUGGCUUUAUCGACCAGAUCAUAAUUACUAAAAACACAAAAUUAACAUUAUGCUUUUGUUAUUCAUCUCCAGGAUAACGUGCAUCAACUGUGCUGGUAAUUUCGCUAGCAAAACCCUUCAAUGCAUCAGGAGGUGGAACAUCAGCAUUCAUCUUCUCAUAUAUGUAUGUCCACUUCAAGAAAUUCUUUCCAUGUUUUGGAAAGUGAUUUUCAAGGUUUUGUACAUCUUCAUCAGGUCACCCUCAAAUAUAGCAUAAGUAAAUGACUGGUUCUCUUUGUCCACAGCUUCCACCGUCUCCUCUGAAAUCAAUUCUUUCCCUCCUGAAAUAAACCCACAUGAAAAAAGGGUUGAAUGAUUGGUAUAAACCACAAUCCAGCUGACUUCUGUAGGAACUUUAUUUACACAAGAAAGUUGGUGCAUUAACACAUAAUUAAAGAUAGGUUUUUGGCAAGUGUUAAGAAAUUGUUGCAGAUUGCAAUAAUGAAAAUCUUCAACUGAUUUCUAGAUUUUUGCUUCUACUGCUGUUCUAAGGCCUAACCAUGAAUGUGAUGUGAUGGUUGUAAUGGCAUCUAGUAUUUGUAUUAAUUACCAUAAUAAUCUAAUACCAUUUCCGGGGAGAAAAGAAAAAUGAUGGAAAUUUGCUUGUCUGUGAGAAUAAUGAUCUUACCAAUUGAGUAAUGGACAAGAAGAAUACAGCCCACGUUUCCCCAAUCGCCUUCCACUGAUUCAGUGAGAGGAAUCUUGUCUGGGCAGAGUUUUAGCAAGUUCUUAGGUGGAAGUUUAAAUAGGGUUAACUUGGAUACAGUGGAUUUCACACCAAAAAAAAAAAGAAUUCAUGAAUGCCUAAGAACUAUUGUGCCUAAGAAAGGUUUGUCCAAGUAAACUGCGCAGUCAACCCUCCAACAAUUACUGCUCAAAUUGUUGUCGCAAAAUUUCUUUUCUAAUUCAAAUAUACUCAUCCAGUAUAAUCUCAAAUAAAUAAAUAAAUAAAGAAGAGAGAAAGAUUCCUUCUUGUCCAUCCAUUUUAACUCGAAGAACUCUUCCAUCAAGACCAUUAACAGUUCGAAUCUAUUUGCCGAUGAAGGUUUAGUGUAGUGAGUAACCUUGAGAUCUUAAAAUUUACCUCAGGAGAUGAGUCCUCAAGUUGACCUCAGGAGUUACCACCGUGGCUUUUGAGGUUAAUUUGAGAUUAGGUUUAACUACUGAUUCUUAAAAAUUUCUGACAAAAAAGAGUAACAUUGAGAUCUUAAGUUUUAGAGAUUUUAGGUUCCAAUCAAACUGCUCCCUUCAUGCUUCUUAAAUCUUACAAUACUCCUAUUAAAAAAAUUAUAAAAUAAAAGUUCGAUUCUGUUGAUGAUAUGGGCCACCCAAGGACCCAAGCUAAAUUUAAUUAUGGGCUUAGUUUCCCUGUGAAUUGUUUGGAAUAUGAAAGAUAACUGGAGCACGUUUGAACCCGGCCAAAUUAGACAUUUAUAGUGUCCGGAUUGCUGGACAAAAUGGGAAUACGCAUUUCUUAAUGGGCCUCUUCUACAUUCUUGCCCAAGAAGAUAAGCCAAAGAUAUGGAUAAAAGAAAAGGAAUAUUGAAAAUGAAGAUUUACCAAUUUAGUUUUUUUUUUUCGUUUUUAUUCUUUUAGUUUGUUGAAUAGAAAGGCAUAUAGCUUGAGUAAUGAAGUAAAUAAAGUAUAAAAUCUUUAUACUUUUGUUUUUUACAGUUAAAUAGAUCAAUUUUACCCGAAAUAACAAAAGGGAACUAGCUAACAUAUCCAAUAGAUGGCCAAAUUAUAAUUUGGUCAUUUAAGCCUACCUUCCUUACCCUUUGAUCAAACAAACAUACAUUGAAAUCUAGGAUAUGGCUAUACCCUGAUUUAUGAUGAUAAUUAGAGUUGAAUCCAUCUAAACUUAGAAAUUUCUAAGAGCCACAAGCUCGCAUUAUCAUUAGAUAAUUAAUUGAGUAAUUAAGUUAUCAAGCUCGAACCACAUGGCUUCUUUUUUUUUUUUUUUUUUUUUUUAAAUUCAGUUCUAGACAAUGUGCAUCAAUUAAGCUGGUAAUUUCACUAGCAAAGCCUUUCAAUGCAUCAGGAGCAGGAACAUCAGUAUCCCUCUUCUCAUAUAAGCACGUCCACUUCAAGAAACUCUUUUCAUCAUUUGAAGUAACUUGGAGGGUGAUUUUCAAGGUGAUGUACAUUUUCAUAAGAUUCUCCUCGCAUAAAUCGUAAGUGAUCCACUGGUUCUUCUUGUCUACAGCUUCCACAGUUUGCAUUGAAGUCAAAACUUUCCCUCCUGCAAUAUAUAUAUAUAUAUCACAUGAAAAAUGGUUCAUUCAUUAAGUGGUAUAAACGUCAAGCCCUCUGACUCAACCAUAUAUUUGUAGAAUUCUGUUUACACAACAAAAUUUGGAGAAUUAGCACAAAGUUCAUAUGGUUUUUGGCAAGUGUUGAGUAAUUGUUGCAAUAACAAAAACCAUUCAAACUAAUUUCUAUAUUUUUGCUUCUAGUGUUUCUUUUAGGGCCUAGCUGUGUUAAAUGGCAUCUAGUAUUUCUUUUGAUUACCAUAAAAACUUAAUGGAAUUACCGGGUAGAAGAGCAAAAUCACAAAAAAAAAAAUGCUUAUCUGUAAGAAGAAUAUUCUUACCAAUGGAGAAAUGGACAAGAAGAAUACAGCCCACAUUUCCCCAAUAUCCUGCAAGUAAUUCAACGAGACGAAUCCUAUCCGGGCAGAGUUUAGGUAAUUUAUGUAUCUUGCUGCCCAAAAUUUCGAAGAAAACAUUUCCAGGAGAUUUGAUUUCCUGGACAAAUUCUAGCUUACCGCUAAGGCAACACAUUAUUUUUAGUGCCACAAUUUUCCAGUAUACACUUUGCACUUGAUGAAGUUUGGAUAAGUCCUCGUAUACAUACUAGGUCGAAAGUAAACUCAAAUCCUUUUACAGAAGUACGUUACAACAUAAAUUUUAGUUUUAGCGUUUGUUUGCUAAAUCAAUCGUAGUAUUCUCGUGAGCUCAUGCAAUGCCAAGACAAAGAAACGGUAAAAUGGGAUUUGCGUUACUUACUCGAAAUGAAUUUUUUUUUAAAGAAAAAUACAAAGAAAUUAAUGUUAAAAGAUUUACUCCUUUUCAUAUAUUUUUAUCAAAAAGUACAUAGGGAAAGGGAUGGGUUGAGUGAUUCGGGAAAAAGAAUGUAAGUGAGAGGUUUUGGUUUUAAGCUUUCCACUCACGCCGUUAAAACAUAUAAAUUCAAAGUGUAUGUAAUUAGACUAAUUUUGGGAAUUAUUUAUUCUAACACGGUCGACAUUAUUGAUGAAAUAUGGCAUCGGCAGAACCUAAAACUUUGAAAUUCAUCUGUUCCAGAAUUUCAAAUGGUAACAUUUUUCCUUAAAAUUUUGGAAUAUUUAUUUUAGGGAGGUAACAGCAUCCGGUGGAAUUGAAAUAUGAAUUUGUCUAACGGGUGUGCAAUUUGCCCUCGUUGAAAUAUCAGCUUGGCUAACCGGUGUUCAAAUGGCCCUCGCUAAGUGGGACAUUAGGCAUUAAUUUUGAAAAAAUGUAAUUAAUUUGAAAAAGUUUAUAAAUUCAGGGGAUAUAAUAAUGGUGAUUGUGUGAAUUUAUAUGGUAAGUUAGAUGUAAUUUAGGUACGUUAACAAGUAUCCACCUGGAUGGGAACCUUUACAAAAAAUCCAAGGCAUUAUUGUUGUUUUGAGAGAAUGGGAGGGAAAGGAAAGCAAACGGAAAUGGAGGGAUAAAGUUUUUAAAUUUUGGAUUAGUUUUUGAGGAGAGAAAGAAAAGGAUUUGAAGGGAAAGGGAGGGACAAUAAUAGUUUUUUUUUUCCAGCCUGCUUCACAUCCAAAAGUGGACAAAAAUAGAGGAAAAUGACAUCAAAAUUAGUGAAAAUUUACUUGUUUAUAAAUUAAACUUUAAACUAUGGAUAAAAAUGUAAUUGACGAUCGAUAGUGUCCUUUCCUUUCCUCCCAUAAUCCAAACAAUAGAUGGACUCAGAUUUCUUCUACUCCCCUUUCUUUUCUUUUCUUUUCUUUUCCUCUAGAGCCUUCUCCUUUCCUUUUCUUCCCUUUCUUUCAAUCCAAACGGUGCCUAAAAGAAAAUACAAGAUGAUGCGACUAAAAAGUUUAUACCAUUCCUAUCGACUGUCAAUUGCAUCAAAACAUGAACUUUGUCUAUAUAAUGUGCACGCUUUGUCACUGAUUUUUGUCGAGUGCUUAGACCAUGAUUGUUAGUGUUGCUUGCUGGAUAGUUUACUCUCAGUAAAAUACUUCGAGAUUUUAGGCCAUAGCAUAUACUUAUGGCUUAUAAAGUGCAUUACUAUAGACGAAAACUACCCAAUCAGCAACAACGGUAAUAUUGGGUUUAAAUGGUACAAUACACUAGGAUAAUGUGCAUUUUACCGACUUCAUGAAUGUGAAGAACUAAAUAUUAUGUAUUAAUUUUAUUUUAUUUUUUUGGAUAUAGUUGGCUUCAAUUAGCGCUCAAACUCGAGAUCUCACAAGGAGAAAGAGAUACCAUAUAUUUUUUUUUUGGUAUGGUUUCUCUUUAUUACUAGAGUUGGUAUCAAAUGUACUUAGGAGACAGAGAUACCUUAAACGACCUUAAGCGAGGGCUAUGAGCUAUAAAACAAGAAGAGGACGAACUACUAGAAGAAGAAUAUGGGCAUAAUAGAGUUGCAAACAAAUCAAAUUGCCCGCUAGUAAUUUGAGUCAAAAGUUGACUCGAGUAAGAUCAACAUCAAGUUCAAACUAACUAAGUCGAAUUUCAGGUCAAAUUCGAGUUCAAAGAUGCUUAACUUGUUAGCUCGCAAGUUGACUGGAUUUUAUAUAUUUAUAUUUAUAUUUUAAUUGUAAAACUACAAUUUUGCCUGUGCCUUACUAUGGUCUAUUUUUAUUUAUUGUGAAUUUAUACAAUUAUGAAUCAUUUAAAUGCGAAAAUUAACAACAAUUCUACACGUUCAUUCAUACUAACUUAAAAAAAUUGAUGUAUUCUAAAUGUUCAAUUAUUUUAAAGCUUUACUUGCUUUGGCCCUAGAUUCACUUUCCUUAGUUAUGUAGACCACUGGACAUUAAACUUUUUUUCCCCUUUUAUUUUAUGCUAGUUUUCUUUUGUGUGAAAUUUUGAUCACGAAAUAUAACUAGAAGCAUCUGGACCUGUCCAAAUUAAACACAUCUAAUAGUAUGGAUUACUGAAUAAAAAGGAGCUUAUGUAUUUUGCUAAUGAAUUCAAAGGAAUUCAUACGCAGGGAGACAAACCAGUUUGAGAUGGGGAUAAAUUAAAAAAGAAAAAUUGAAAAGGGCGAUAUACCGCCGUUUUAUUAAUUUUUUUUUAAUUUGGUAAGUCCUUUCUUUUUGAAAGGUUAGUUUGGUAAAUCAACUCAAGUAAUGAAGUAACAAAAGUGUAAACUUUACACUCUUUACAGUUAAACAGCUCCAAAAAAAAAAGGUCUGUUUGCUAAAGAAUACAAUCUAGCUCUCUAGGGUAUACUUCUCAUCAGCCAUCAUACUACUUCUGCUACUUUAAUUGCUAUAAGUUCAUGCUGGUAAAUGUAUUUGCACCAAAGUCAUAUCCAAAUAUUUAUUAGCUGAGUUAAAAUGAAAUAUAAAUGGUGCGAUAUUUUGGAGUUAUGAUUCUUUACUUUAGUGGAAUAUAUUAGAAUAGUUGGCCAAAUAAAAGAAAUCAUUUGGGGUUAUAUAUUGAAAUCAGCAAAUUUGCUGAAGAAAAAUAGGUCCUUGCGAGUACGAAGCAACCACAUGUUUCAGAAUCACAAUAAAAUCACAAAUAUUCAUUACUCACAAAUAAUAUUUAUUUAUGUUGUUCAACCUUUACAAACAUUGCUUGUGAAACUAACAAGCAUUAGCUUUAUAAUGACAUAGCACACAUUUAUUCGUGCAUCCAUUUUAGAAGACACCAUAUAUAGCAACUUCAAACACGCUAAAUACUUAGAAGAUAUGUCUCUCUCUCUCUCUCUCUCUCUCUCUCUCUCUCUCUCUCUCUCUCUCUCUCUCUCUCUAUAUAUAUAUAUAUAUAUAUAGAUGGUUCAAGCAUUUUUGAUGUGAUGAGAUUCAAUGUCUUCAACCAUGUGAAGGAAAAAGUUGAGCAAGGUUCCUGGAUGUGGGGUAUCUUCCUUCAGCUUCUCAUAGUCGAGAGUCCAUGUAAUCAAACUUUCUUUGUCACCAAGAACAUCAACAUGGUAUAUGAUAGUGAAGGUCUUGUACAGCUCCAUGAGAUCUCCUUCAAUCAUCUUAAAUACGAUUGAUUUCUUUUCUUCAUUUAUGUCCUGAAUAAUCUCCUUUGCCACCCUAUCUUUCCCGUCUGUAAAAAUGAAAAUUAAAUCGAUUACAGACUCUCCAAUUCCUAGUCAACAUGCUGGUAAUCCAAAAACAAGGUUUGCGGAAUUCUUUCUUUUUGUUUUUUUGCGCAAAAAAGUAUGUUUUGAUUAGGAUAGACUAUACCAUUUACACAACCAGGGAAGUAUUCUCGUUGUGAAACACCAGGUAUAUAGCAAAAGAAAAAAAAUCAGUAGUAUUUAUUAAUUGAAUUCUUUACGAAGAUGGACUUCCUUAAUUAACCUUUGUUGUUUCCACAAUCAGAUUAUUGUCUUUGUAUAAAUACUAAUGAUAAUAUUAAUAAUAAGGUUAACGUAAUAGAUCUAGUCCGUUUUUCAUUAAAACUUUUCCCGAGGCAGAUAUUAAGCUUUUAUCCUUUCUUUUUCUGGCAAAUAAGUUAGAUAACUAGUUGUAUGCCAGUUCAAAGCAGGUAAAAACAGAUGGAGAGAGUUUAAAUCAACUUAGUCCAGAAGCUGACUAACAUGCAACAAAAGCUAAAUGAAUAAAGGAAAAACAAGAAAAACUGCGAGAGAAGAAAGAGCCAAAAUAAGGAACUUGAAUAUUGAUUUCAUACCAUGGGUAUAAUGCCAGCAGAUUUUGGAUCCAACAGUUCCAAGAUCACCACCAAGCAAAGUAAACCCUUGAACUUUCUCAGGAGUUAUGGUGGCAAGAUCAUGUGGUCUUUUGCUUAAGACAUCGUGGAACACAUCUCCUGCAGGGCCAUGGAUGUUAGUUGACCAAUCAUUUUACCUUUGAGCCCCAUUUUUUUUCUGAGAAACUGAGAAGGAAAUGACCAAAUACUGCUGCAGCAAAAAAAUGCAAAGAAAUAUGGUCUACUAGACUAUCCCUUUGCUCCUUAUAUAGUAUAGAACUGAUGGGUGACUUCACCCCCCACCUCCACCCCCACCCUUUCUUUUUUUCAAUUGGGGUCUAUAAACCACGUAAGAGGAACCAAUUAUCUUCGCUAGCAACUAUCUUUUUUUUCCCUAGUUCUGCCAUUGUUACAAAGUUUUUUUUUUUAAUUCAUGAGAUGUUGUAUUGGUAAAUCAGCCCUAAUAAAUGAUACUCAGCAUCUAUUAAAAUGUGAUUAUCCUCAUUGUCUAUUAAUCUAUAAUCAUAUUACAUCUAUAGUUUUGCACUUAGGGUCAACAGACUCGACGCCAUUCAUUUUUUUAAUGCCUACAACUAAGGUUUUCUUGUGGGCAACUUAAAUUUUAUUUUGAUCGAUAUUUCUUAGUCUCAUUUUUGCUUUACGACAAGAACAUUGGAUAAAAUAAGGGCCAUCCUUAACAAAUUAUUUUGGAGAGAUCUACUUCUCGUGUCCAUGGCAAAAAUGACUCUCCAAUAAUGACUCUUAGAAGUUAGUUGACACAAUAAAUGAUAUAAAUUCAUGAGUUUUGGACAGCUGGUAAGUAGACUGUUAAUGUCAAUAAGAGAUCGCAAGUUCGACUCCUGUACGUGACACCUUGAAAAACUCUGGUAAGAUGGUCACCCCCAAAUAAAAGUUGGACUUUAUGGAUGCUCCUUGGACCGAAUCCGGGUUAGACUCACUAAGAGUGGGGAUAUCAGGUGCUCAAAACAAAAUAAAUAAAGGGUAAAAAAUAAAUAAGCCCCCUGUGGUAAACCUAAUAUACAGAAAAACCUCCCAUGGUUUCAAAUUAUAUAACACGACCCCUCUAAAUUGUAAAGAUGACGGAAUCCGUUAAACUUAACGGAAAUAGACAAAAUGACCAAAAUGCCGUGAUAUAAUUAAGCCAAAGACAGCUCAAAAAAAUCAUUUGUUUUAUUCUCUAAAUAGAGAGAAUUGAGGGUUAAGGGGUAGAAUAGGUAUAUUUGAUAAAAAUUAGGUAUAAAUUUUUUUUUAGGUUUCAAUAAGUCAUUUCCGUUAAGUUUAACAGAUUCCGUCACCUUUACAAUUUAGCUCAAAGUAUGAGGUGCCGUAUUGUAUAUUUUGAAACCAUAGGGGGCUUUUCUGUGUAUUAGACUUACCACAGGGGGUUUUUUUGUUUUUUACCCAUAAAUAAAUGAUAUCCUCUUCUUACAUGGUUUUUGGUAGGUGGCAUACUAUUACCAAAUGGGAAAUAAAUGGAUAAGUUAAGGCCUUAUCUGAAUUACAGUUUUCUAAAGAAAAUUUUUGACGUUUUACAUAAACACAUUUAUGAAUCAUAUUUUAAUUUCACAUAUAUCAAAUUGUUGUAGCAUAUUUUUUUUGAGAAAAAAGUUUUGACGGCUCUCCAACUCUUUUUCAAGUUAAGUUUUGGCCCUUCAACAAUUAACAGUAAAGUUUUGGUUCUCGAUCUAAUAAAAGAGUAUAUUUGUGGCCCUUCUGUCAAAUCCAGAUAGUAUAGGGAUGGGCAAAAAAACCUGUUGAACCGAAAAUUCAGCGAACUCGAUGCAAUGCGAUCCGAUUUUUCUUAGCAGGGCAAAUAAGGGUCGGGUACCCGUGAAAAAUGGAUACGGAUACAGAUCAGAAAAAUAAAAACUCGUGGGUACCUGAUCCGCAGGGUAUAUUAUAUAAAUAUUAAAAAAUUAGAAAUCAUUUUAUAAUUUUAUAAUUUUUAAUCCUAAAUGUAAAUGAAGUGCCUCACAGCCUUAUAUUCUAAUAUCAUAUGAUCUGCCUCUCCUCAUAUUGUUUGAACAAAGCAAAUAUUCUCGGUGAAACCUAAAUCAAAUGAACAAAAUGAAGAAAAAUUUGUGAAAAUCUAUCAUAAAAAUUGCUCAUCCCUUUGAUUCUUUUCAUUUUUAGUCUACCUCCAUUGAUCUUUCCUGCAAAUUUUUUAUCAAUUCAAUCAAAGAUUUGUGUUUGGAGUUCUAAUUUUCUAUUAGCUAGAUGAUUAAAACAUUUGUGUCUUUCAUUUAUUUAUUUGAUUUAUUUUAUUGUAAUUAUGUCUCUUAAAUUUGUCUCUUUUAUUUUAGUGCAAGAAAGUUAUUUUUCUUUUUUAUCACCUUUAAUGCCAUAAGGUUUAUUCCAAAGAUGUAAGGAAAUUGGGAAGGAUUUUUCAAACUUGUUACUAAAAAGUGUAAAAUGAUCUCAAUUAAUUAAGCAAUGCAUCACUCAUGAUUUCAAUUUGAAGUUGAAAUUCCAAUGCAUCACUCACUAAGCAAUACAUAGUUGAAAUUUGAAGUUGGCUACAAUGAAUUACUUUCACUCAAUUAUCACACACACACAAAGAGAUAAUCAAGUAUAUGCUGGCUAUUAGAUAAAAAUUAAUUAGUUGGGCUGGCUGCCUUUGAUGACUAUCAAUAGAAGAUACACUAUCAUUGGAUACGCUCCCGCAAGCUGAAGUCAAGUCAGUCACAAUAAAAAAGAAGCCCGUCCCUAAAGUUUUAAUCAAAAUACAUUUCAUCCUUAUAGUUCUAUAGUUUUGAUCAAUUUCAUCCCUAAAAUUUCAUGUGAACAUAUUUUAUCCUCAUAGUUUCAUAAAAUUGACCAAUUGAGGACAAUUGAAUGAUUGUUAACCAAUUUGGACCAAGUAUCAUACAUAACUAGCAUGUCCCAUUGAUAAUUGUAUCAAUACUUAAUUCGAUUAUUGAUUAAAUUAUAUAAAUAACAAUGAGUGUGUUCGGAUAAAAGAUUAUUAUUUUUAAAUAUGUGAUAUAAUAUAUAUGAAAUAAAAAAAUAAAUUAGAUGAUAGACAGACAAUUUGAAAACGUGAAUAUAAUGCGACAAAACAAAAUUUUAGAAACAAAUGGCAAUCUAAACAGUUCUUUCUUUCACGUUAAUAUUUUUCUUCAUUUGAUUGCAAUGUAAUUGUUUGAAAGAUUUAUCCAAUUGGCUAUAAUGGAGUUAUUUCUUCUCCAUGACUUUAUUUCCUCUCAAUCUUUUUGUUCUAUUUGUGAUUAAGAAGAGAAUAAUGGUGGUUGAAAAUUUCUUAGUUUUUUUUAAAUAAAAAAGUGAAUUCAAAAAUAGUUUUUGAGGUUUUUUGUUGAUCCAACAUUUUCUGAAUUUUACUAACAUGCAUGUUGUGGUCAAGUGAUGAUAUUCCAUUCAAAUUGCUUGGCAAUCAAUCAAUUAUCCUUAAUUAGUCAAAUUUAUGAACUUAUGAGAAUGAAAUGUGUUUACAUGAAACGUUAAGAAUGAAAUUGGUCAAAAUUAUAAAAUUGUAAUGAUAAAAUGUGUUUUGACUGAAAUUUUGGGGACGAAAUUGCCUAACACCUCAAACAAUGAGGACGAAAAGUGCAUUUUUCCCUAAAAAUAAAAUGAACCUUCAUCCUUCCCCUUAUGUUUUUGGGCUACAGUCCUUUUUUGUUAUUACUGUGUUGAUAUUCAAGAUAACCGAACGUAUAUAGCUAGACAUGUUCCUUUUGAGGAAUCUAAGUUUUCCCCAUUCCUUGGUCCUUCUAUACUUGGUCCACCACCACGUAAAAAACAAACCAAUUCAAUCCACCUUGACUUGUUCUACCAAUUCAUGUUUUCAAAUUCAAUGGAUCCUACAUACAUUUUUAUCACAAACCGACUACUACUCUAACCCUUCUUGUCAAAGUCAAAUGAACUGACCCUAUGGUACUUCGUCACGUAACCAUCCAGAACAAAAACAAUACUACUUUAGCAAAACUUAUCUCUAAACCUUCUGUGGAGUCAUCUGAACUUAUCUCUAAAUUGAAAUAUGAAGUUAGCUGACAAUAAAUUACUUUCACUCAAUUAUUACUUAACAAAAUAAGUACAGUAUAUUGAAAAUCAAGAUGAGAAUGUGGGGUUGGGACAUCUACAUUUGCUUUCUGGUAUAGAGUCCAUUUCACCAUGUUCACAUCACCUUGGACAGUUGCCUGGAGAGUGGCUUUUACCAAAACACAGGUCUAAUUUUAAUUGAAAAAAAAAGUAAAUAUCAAAAUGGUGGAAUUAAAACAAGCAUGUAUAAGCUGGAAUCCAUCAACAAAAUUUAAAAAAAAAUGAAUAAAGAGAUUAAUUGGUUAAACUCACAUAGUAAUUUUCAAGGCCAUAAAACCAUGUUCAUCCUAGAUGGAGUCUGAUCAUUAAUCAUUUGGAGUACAAGACAGGCCAGUAUAAUUUCUUAUGUUUGGAUAGACUAGAUCUAUGUAGAUCACGUGAUUCAAAUUUUAUCAUACAAUCUCAGCAACUCAAGAAUUGAUGGUAUAGAAAAUUGUACCACAAGAUCAAGUCUAUCCAACUUUUUACCUCCUCGGUAAACUAUCAUUACUUAGUUUUAUGAGUAUCUUUUCCUUGCCAAGAAAACUAAUGAAAUGACUGAUUCUUUUUUUUUUUUUGGGUGUAAAGGCAACCACUUGAGUGAUUUCAGGAGAGACAAUGAUGACUUUAAGCUAUCAAAGUUUACUUUGCAGUAAAAAUGUAUGGCUCCAAAAAUUUUCUCACAGUCUUGUUAAAAGCUAUCAUAUAUAUGUCUGCUUUUAAUCCUACAGAUUAAUUACUGAGUAAUAGCUUUCUUGGCCCAUGACAAUAGGAACCGUCCGUCUUAGUGUCACAUAAUGCAGAUUCGUAAAACUUUAGCCCGACACCUAAGGGAGAUUCGCACUGAUAUUUCUAAGCUUAGGUAGGACCAAUAGGAGCCAAAAGAUGCCUCAGGCGCAUCAAAACUCGGUUUGGACCCCACCAAUUUACGCUAGAGCCCGUUGUGCAUUACAUCCAUGGGAGUUCGCCUUCCCCACCACAAUUUACAAGGACAGGACAGGAGCACCAAAAUUGGUCUUGUGUUUCGGCCCCAUCUCUCUACAGUAGAGUAGAAAGUCUUGUACGUGUAUCCAUGGGCCUGGUCCCGGGCCUUCCCUUCCCCACCACUAAUUAUACGAGAUUGGACAGCGACCACCGUAUAAAAUUUUUGUCCAUUGCUGAUUUUGGAGUUUCUGAAUAAAAAUGUAUUAUUAUAGUGAUUGGAUGCAUGCAAAAAGAUGGUUAGAAAAUUUGUUUACGGAAAAAAUAUAAUCUUUUUUUUUGGAAAAAUUACUUUUCAAAUGAUGCCUAGAGUCGGGUACAAACUACCCUCAAGGCAUACAAACUACCAAUCACAACUAUUAGAUUUAAGCCAUGCUUUUAUCUAUUGUCUGAGAGUAGUAAUUCUUAGGCCCUGUUUGGAAUCAAGUUUUUUGGCCAAGUUUUUUAGCUACUAGUUUUUUAACAACUUUAGCUACAGGAACCCAAAAAAACUUAUCAAAUUUUUUAACCUACACACUUUAAAAUAUCUAAUACACAAAAAACUUUCCAUUUUCUUCUUCUUUCUCCCCCACCCCUAUCCACCACACCUCCGCUGCCGGCCACCACCACCUCCACCGCUGUUUCCGGCGCCGGCCUACCCCUUUUUUUUCCUUCUCCCUCUCCCUCUCCCGGCCUCUCCCCCUCCCCCUCUCUUUCCCUCCCCUCCCCUCCCUGGCCACCCUCCCGCUUCCUCUCUGGUCGCACGCUACCACGAAAGACCGAAUUGGGCAAAAGGCUUCCGCUUCCUCUCUGGUCGCACGCUAUGCGAUCUGGUCGAACGAUCGAAUUGGGCAAAAAGGGAGGGGGGAAGGGGAGGGGAGGAGAGGGGGAGAGGGAGAUGGAGGAGAGGGGGAGAGAAAAAGCAAAAAAAAAAAUUGUAUUCUGCCAUGGCUGCUGGUUCUCCGCUUCGGGAGGGAGAGGGGGAUGGUGAAGGGGAGUAGAGGGGGAUAGGGGAGUAGAGGGGGAUAGGGGAGCAGAGAAGGAGAAGAGGGGAAGAAAAAAUGAAAAAAAAAAAUUGGGGAGAGGGGCUGUUGGUCGUCUGGUACCGCGAGGGAAGAGGGAGGGGGAAGGAAGGAAGAAGAAGAAGAAGAGGAGAGGAGAGAAAAGAAAAAGGAAAGAAAGAAAGAAAAAGAAAAAGAGAGAGAAAAAGAAAGAAAAGAAAAAAAAUGGAAGGGCCAUGGCUGCUGGGACUGAGAAGGCAGAGGUAACGGGGGAGGGAAGGGGGAGGGAGAAGGAAGAAGAAGAAGAAGAGAAAAAAGAAAAGAAAAAGGAAAGAAAGAAAAAGAAAGAGAAAGAGAAAGAAAAAAAAAGGAAAAAAAGUUUUUCGCUUUAAAAAAAUUUCUACAAAAAAGUUUUUCACCUUACAAAAACUUCUACAAUUUUUUCAAAAACUUCUACAGUGCACUACAGUAAAGUUUUAGACAAACUCCUAAAAAACUUAGGUUCCAAACAGGCCCUUAAUUUCAGCAUUAGUAGCAAAUGUAAAAACGAUUCCGCAGGUUAUACUUUGUGUGUUUGAAACACUUCUCUCUAAAACUCUUUCUCUCUCCCUUUUCUCUCUAAAACUCUUCCAAUCAAGAUCUUCUUCAUCUCUUUCACGGGAAAGAGAUCAAAUCUGAUUUUUUACCUCUGGGAGGAAGUACUCUUUAUACUUUUUAGUUUCUCUUGUUUAAAUAAAGGGAGAAUUGUAAUUUCAUCCAAUUUUGUAACGGAAUCCUAAUUGCGUGCAAUCACUUGCCUAGAUGUAGGAGCAUUUUAAAAUUUUUUUAACUCACAAAAUGCCGAUGACUUCCCUUUGGGAUUUCACUCCAAUUAUCCGAAAAUAAAAAAUAACCUGGGUUACACAAAGUCACAAACUUUCGUCGAUAUCCAUCUAAAGACUUUCGCCUCCGUCCUCUGCAGUUUGCUCACAUCCUUUCCAGGAAUCCCCUCUCUCUUCUCUCUGUCCUUUCCUUUUUCUUUUGUUUUCCCUUUCUAAAAGGACUCAAACUUCCUUUGCUCCGGUAAAUCCAUACAUGCUUUACCUUUUUCCCAGUUUUCCUUUUAUAGUCUUGGAUCUGCUUAGCUUUUCUGUUCCUUUUGUUUUUGAUACAAAUAUUGAGGCAAAUAAUAAGAGAAGCAAAAGACAAAUGUUUAUUGCUUUGUAAAACUCACACAACUUAUAACAUGAAAUUACUCUAUUUAUAGAGUUUAAAUCAACUCCACUAACUAUACCACUAACUCCACUCACUCCACUAGCAACUCCACUAGGUACUCCACUAAUCCCACUAGUUAUUCCACUAACUCCACUAAUUAGGUAGCAUAAACAAAUAUAAUUAAUUAACAACGGCAAAUAUUUCUAACAAUUCCUCCCUUAAACUGAAAGUUUAUCAAACAUUCAGUUUAAUAUGAUUUAUUAACUGCACAGACUCCAAGCAGCUUCCUUAAUUUCUGAAACGUGGAUAACUUCAAUGGCUUGGUCAUUAUAUCAGCAAUCUGAUCUUCACUUUUGCAGUAGAGAAAAUCAAUUAUUCCAUCCCUUGUGAGCUCCCUUAGAAAAUGAAACCUCACAUCUAUGUGUUUGGUUCUUUCAUGUAGAACUGGAUUUUUAGAGAGUUUGAUGGCAGAACUGUUGUCACAAUAAAUUGUAGUAGCUCCUUCUUGCUGAAAAUGCAACUCUUCAAGAAUAUUCCUUAACCAAAUUGCUUGACAGGCACAGGCGGUUGCAGCUACAUACUCAGCUUCAGUUGUUGAUAACGUAAUAAUUGGUUGCUUUUUUGAACACCAUGAAAUAGCUGCUGAACCCAUCAUGAACACAUAUCCAGACGUACUCUUUCUAUCAUCAGAAUCGCCUGCAUAGUCACUGUCAGUGAAACCAAACAAAUCUAAUUUUCCACCAUUCUUGUAAAAUAAUCCAUACUCAAUAGUUCCCUGCAAGUAUCGAAGAAUCCUCUUAGUAGCUAGAAGAUGUGUCUCCCUUGGAUUUUCCAUGUAUCUACUAAUAAGACUUACAGCAUGUAUAAUAUCAGGCCUAGUUGCUGUCAAAUACAUCAAACUUUCCACAAUUUGCUUGUAAAGGGUGCUAUCAACCCUCUUUCUCCUGGUUCUUUGAUGAGUUUUAAACCCACUUCAACUGGCGUACUAACAGAAUUACAAUUCGACAUUUGAAAUCUAUUCAGAAUUUUUUGCACAUAUUUUCUUUGAGAGACAAAAAUUCCAUCAGCAGAUUGCACCACUUCAAUACCCAAAAAAUAAUGCAUCUUUCCAAGAUCAGACAUAUCAAAUUCGGCCAUCAUAGAUUUCUUGAAUUUCUCAAACAUGGCACUAUCAUUCCCAGUAAAAAUAAGAUCAUCAACAUAUAAGCAAACAAUCAGCAAUUCCUCGCUUUGACAGUCACUGUGAUCAUUGGAGCAUGCUAAUGGAGAACUUCUUGAGAUCCAAAGAGUAUUGACAGAUUGUUGAAUCUGGAGUAGCAGAGCCAACAGCUGGAGAAAUAUUGUUAGAGGUGCAGAAAAUGGAGUUGGAAGCAUUGAAACUGAAAGAUUUUAAAGCCAAAAAUUAUCUUUUUCAAGCUAUUGAUCAGGCCAUUUUGGAGACAAUUCUUAGCUGGCUGCACAAAAUUGUCAGUGGCCAUCAUAAUUUACCAACACAAUUCUCACAACUCACUUUUGUUUUCACUCACAAGCCUAGCUCUAGUACCACUGAUACAAAUAUUGAGGCAAAUAAUAAGAGAAGCAAAGGACAAAUGUUUAUUGCUUUGUAAAACUCACACAACUUAUAACAUGAAAUUACUCUAUUUAUAGAGUUUAAAUCAAUUCCAGUAACUCCACUAACUAUGCCAAUAACUCCACUCACUCUACUAGCAACUCCACUAACUCCUCCACUAAUCCCACUAGUUGUUCCACUAACUCUACUAAUUAGGUAGCAUAAACAAAUAUAAUUAAUUAACAACGGUAAAUAUUUCUAACAGUUUUGGGUUUGAAGCGGAUGUAGCUUGAAUAUUAUACAGGAGGGGAAGGGAUCUGAGGUAUUUUUCCAUUUUUUGAGCCCGGAAUUAGGCCUCCAUGCGUGAUAUACUGUUUAUUUAUGGCUGCAGAGAUUUGUUUGUGAGUGAAACUGAUAUUUUUGUUCAUCCUUGAAAGUUUCUGAAUCUAAUGAUGUUUCCCAAAGGCAAAGUUAUACUUGGAUUUUGAUUUUGAUUUUAAAAUUUUGUGGUAGCUUGUCUAUUUAAGGUUAUGAAAAAAGAAUGCUAAACUCAUAGUUAGCUUCAGUUUCUAGAGCAUCAGCUUCACCUGAUUGGUGUUAGCUUUUCAUCUUAACGGAAGCAGGAGUUAUGACUAUGUUUCUUGCUGUUUUCUUUUGUUACUUUUUGUGAGAGAACGCAUCUUGGAAGAUGUAUGUUUAUGUUUAGCUUUUCAUAGAACCACAAUGUGUUUGAGAAAACCAUAUCUGAUUUUGUAGCAAAUUACCAAAACUAAAAAUCCUGAAAUUUCCUUCUGGUUUGAAUCGUCAAAGUAGAUUUCUUUACUCGGGGUCAAUGAUGAAAAUUCACUCAAUUAUCACUAAUAUAUGAUUAUGACCUUUCUUGGAUAUUAUUUACUUUUCAUGUUGGUUUUGUUUGUGCAGGAGGAUUUCCUAACUGACCAUGUUCAGAAACCUGAAAUUACUGAUUAUGCUAUCAUAAUUUAAGUCAUCUUCGGGUGCAAUGGAGAGUGAUUGCCUUACGGGUUCUUUUCGGCCCUGCAUAGACAAUGAAAUCAUGCAUAAAGCUUGGAGAUUAAUUCGAUGACGCAUCCCUGUUGCUUAUCCAACUCAAUUGAGUCAAGCUGAUCUUUUACACCGAGUUCUACCCGGAUAACAUACAUGUGUAAAAUGCAUAGCAACAGUAUGUCAAAAAUUGCUUCCCGAUUUAGAGUGAGUAAAGUUAUUGGGGGCUUACAAGCUGUAAUCUUUGAUGUUUGAAUGCGCCUUUGAGUUUGACGUAUCAAACUUGGAUAUUGCGGAGUAAUGAAUUAUGUUCCCUAUUUUUAUUUUCUUUUUCCUUCGAAAGGUCAUUGAUCUUCUUGCUUCUUUUUUCUGGAUAAUCAACCAUCUGAGAGUUCUUACCUUCUAAUAAUCUCCUUAGAAAAUUUUAUUUAGUCACUUCAAUGCAAAAGACAUAUGGCCUGAUAUGCACUCGACUUAACAAUAAUGAUAUCACAGAACAAUCCAUAAGGAAAUAAUAUUGCUCAAGAAGAAACCCCGCAUGCUCUCUUUGACAAUUUUUCCUUUUUCUAAAAUUUAUUUGCAUUUCCAUCAUAUGGUGAAGGGUGUAUUUCUAAUUUUUGUUUUCGUACAUCCCAAAGCAGGAAAAGAAAUUAAAGGACUUUGCUAUAGAUAAGUUUAUUAGGAUAGAAAAGAACAGAGAUGUGAAAAAAUGAAAAGAAGAGAAAAUGAGAGGAUAGAUUUUGACUUUUUAAAUAGUUUAUGAGUGCACGCGGCACAUUCCGUUACUCAAUUGGAAGGAAUAUGUCAAUUGUCCACUUUUAUGCAAAAUUGGAUAGAUGAGGGAUCAAAUUUACUGUUUGAAAUAGAUUGAGAUCCAGUUCCGUGCAUGGGUCCGUGCAUGGGUAAUACAUUGAGGAUUACAAUUACAAUUCUCCCUUAAAUAAAUUCUCUCCUAAAAUUUUCUAAUAAGAAAUUCUUCUCUUCUAGGAUCUCCUGGUGAGAGUUUCUUUUCUCCUAAAUUAUUCUAAUAAGAGUUUUAUUCUCUUCUGAAUUUUUUCUUGUGAGAGUUUUUUAGGUUUUUAUCUUUGCUAAAUUUGAGAUUUUAUAGAUCUAAAAUCUAGUUUUCCAUAUCCGCAAUUUCUCCAUUAUUGUCAGAUCUAAAUUUCUCUUUGGAUUUGAAUCAGUUUUAAUCCAUUAUUGUUAGAUAUAAAUUUUUCUUUGGACUUGAAUCAGUUUUAAUCAGAUAUGAUUGUCAAUAGACAUGCGCUUAUAUAUUGGAAUACAGUGAUUCAUCCGGAUGGAAGAUAUAUAGAAGCAUUAAUGUUAUUUUUAUUUGUAUUAUUUUCUUAAAUCUGUUAUAUCUAUUGAUUUUAGAUCUACAUGUAUCUGUGUCAUAUUUGUUUGAUGUAUUUUCUACCAUUAGUACAGAUUUAUUUGAAUGAAAUGAUCUUUUUUAUAUAAAAAAAAUUUCAGCAUUACUAAGGUAAUUGUAUUGUGUUUAAUCAACCUGUUUAUUUGCUUUUUCGUCUUUCACAUCUACUAACAUUUAUCAUUGCAAUCAUAUUUUACUUGUAAUAACGUGUAAAACAAAACCAUCGUAGUUAGCAAUUACUCCACUUCAUAUUUUAGUCCUUUUCAUGGUUUUACCCAAUUACUCAUAGUCAACACUGGUAGAGUUAGGCAUUAAUUUUAAAAAAUGUAUCAAGUUGUAUUCCGUUUUCUCUAUUGUCCAAUAAAAUGUCCUCACUAAUUAGUUUUCUUUUUCCAAUUCACUAUUAUCUGCGUAAAUGAAAAUAAUAUUAUUCGUCGUGGAAUCACAUUUUUUUAAGUGUAUUUAUGUUCUAUCAAUAUUCAGUGACAAAUACAAAUUUACAUCCAUUUGUCUCUUCUUUCAUUGUUAAUAUUCAAUAUGCGUCGUUCAAUCUCCAAUGCGCAAAUUUGAUAAAAUUAUAUAUUAUUUUAUUUCUUAUAUUCACUGAAUUAUAAACUGCCAAAUUUCUAAUAUAUUCUCUAUGUCUUCCAAUUCAAGAAAACCAUACCAUUUCUCCGAAAUACAAAGUUAUAUAUCAAUUAACAAUGUUUAACAGACACCCCAUUUAUGCAUUUUCCCUUAAAGGCUCUUCACUUAUUACACCUUUUUUAAUCUUACACUUUACUGCAAUGGCAUGACACGUUAUGAUGUUUCAUACAAUGACCCAAUUCAUUUUUAUCAACAAGAUGUGGGCAACAACUAUGCACUCGUAACUUUUGCCUAGCAAAAUGAACAUUGUAUAAUGUAAAGGGCUAUAUUACCAUUAUAUAUAUAUAUAUAUAUAUAUAUAUAUAUAUGUGUGUGUGUGUGUGUGUGUGUGUGUGUGUGUGUGUGUAGAACUCAAAUUUUGAAUGAUUUCUAAUAGUGCCAACACCUGCAAUUAAAAUCUUAUAAAUUCUCUUAAACUCUCUUGACUCUUAUAGAUACUCUUAACAAGAUUUAUCAACUAAUGUUUUAUUUAUAACCUCCUACACUUAUCGUGUAAGAAAUCACUUACACAAAAAAUUACCAAAUAAAGUAUAAAUUCCUAAAUUACGAUAACUACUAAAAACCUGAUUCUAAAUAAAACUACUAAAUAAUUAGAUAAAAACUUGUAGUCUUGAUUCAUUUGCCAGCAAAUCAAUCAUAUAGUAUUUGUUAGCUACUAAUUUUUUCAACCCAUAUCAAGUCUUUUACGUGCCACCAAUAAUAGCUCUUUUAUCGGCAUUGACCUAUUACCCAAUUUGAACUUCAUCCCUGCAAGAAGAACGACGAUCUAAUUUGGACAACAAAGAGCUCGGGGUGCUUGGGGGGAACCAGAAGAGAUGGGACCUUAUGGCCCUGCUCGCCAACUCAGUUGUCUUAGAGUUAAUUGCAAGAAAAUCUCGUCCAAAACGUGCACAUCGUGUUUUGCUUUGCCAUGUAAUCUUCUUCUUCUUCUUCUUCUUCUUCUUCUUCUUUUUUUUUUUUUUUUGUUUUUGCUUUGCUAUCUAACCUGAUUGUUCUGACACCAGAAAUAUUUGUAAAUUUAUUUCUUGCCCAUUUGAACAAACUUGAAAAUAUAAAAAAUGACCUCUUUUAGGGUCCGUUUGGCUGGGAGUAAAAUGUUUUCCUUGGGAAAAUAUUUUCCAUGGAAGUAAUUUUUCAGGAAAAUCAUUUCCCUUUCAUCAUUUUCAGGUGUUUGGUUAGCCUAUUGAAAAUAUUUUUUUACUUCAUUUUCUGGUGUUUGUUUAACUUUUGAAAUAUUUUCCAACUUUGAAAUAUUUUCACUUUUACCUCUGUCUUUACUUUCUACACAUUAUAACCACAUACUUCUUCCCAUGCAAAAUAAAAAAAUAUUUAUCUCAUUUUUUAACUUUAAAAAAACUUAAAGAAAUGUAUAUAUGGAUAAAAAAUUUCUCCUUAAGCAAUAAACAAAUUGCUAACCAUUCAUUGUCAAAUAUCAAUCACACGAAUGCUUAUUGUGACAUAUAUCUUACAGUCUCACUGCUAAAAGUUUCUCUAGAAAAGAAUGCCCCUAUUAUACAUAAUUAAUUGCUAGAAUAAGGUGAGUAGGGUGAGGCCUUUUUUUUUAUUUUUUAUUUUGAGCAUACUAUGGGCCUGUUUGAAACCUUGAUUUUUUACCAAGUUUGUAUAAAACUAAUUUUUUAACAACUUUUGCUACAGGAAUCCCAAAAAACUUAUCAAAGUUUUUAACCUACACACUUCAAAAAUACAUAAAAAACUUUCCCUUCAACUUUUCUUCUUUUUCCUCCCCCACCCAACCCACCACGUCCUUCGUUGCCGGCCACCACCUCCACCACCGCUGCCGCCGGCUAGGGGUGGCAAUUUUCGACACGACCUGAAAACACGACACGAAUCUAACACGAAAUUAAUGGGUUUGGGUUGAGGUUUCGGGAAUUCAGGUCAGAAUCGGGUUGAACCCGAAAAGAAAACAGGUCGAUUUCGGGUCAACCCGUGGUGACCCGAUAUGACCCGUUUAUGAAUUAAAAAUAAUUUAAUAAACAUAAAAAUAAUUUUAUCUGACUAAGCUAAGUUAUUCUUUUUUUCAAACGCAUUAAUUACUUAAUCCUAAAUGAAUUUAUUUAAUUUGUGUGAAGUUGAAAUUAUUAUAUUUGAACAAAUAAUAUAUUAUAUUAUUUUUUACUUUUAUACUGUUUUAAUUUAUUUUAUAUUUUGUUUGGGAUAAAACACUUUUACGGUGUUUAAUUUAUUUUAGAUUUGGCUUGAAAUUAUUUAUUUAAAUUUUUAUUACUUGAUUAUGUAAUUAGUUUUGUGAGAAAUUAAUUUUAUUAGAAAUUACAGUGAUAAAUUAAUAAAUUAAAAUUAAAUUUCGGGUCGACCUGUCAACCUGAAAUUUUCGGGUUCGGGUCAAUAUACCUGACCCGUCACCGGUUGGCGGGUUGGGUUCGGGUCAAUAGAUUUUUUGACGGGUCGGGUCAAACCCAACCCGCCAACCUGAUUUGGACCCGAAUUGCCACCCCUACCGCCGGCGGUCACUAUUCCGACAGCUAGUUCUGGCCUUCCUCUUUUUUUUUUCUCUCUCCCUCACCCCCUCUGCUCCUCUCCCCUCCCCCUUUUGACCGAUCUAUUGGUGCUCUUUUUCUUUUUUUUUUUUUCUUUCUCUCUCCCCCCUCCCUUCUUCGCCUCUGCCUCCCCCACCACCCUCCCCUUCCCCCUUUGACCGAUCUGGUCGCUCGACCAGAUUGCAAAGGGGGAGAGGAAGGGGGUUGCGAUCUGGUCAGCUAGGGGAGGGGGAAGGUAGCGGGGGAGGGAAGGGGAGGGGUAGCGGGGGAAGGAAGGGGAAGGGGAGAGGGAGAGGGAAAAGAGGGAUGGCGGGGAAGGUAGAGAGAGGGGUGGUAGGGGAGGGAGAGGGGAAGAGAAAAAAAGCAAAAAAAAAAAAGAAAAAAGAAUCACUUGUUAGUUGCUGCCAUGGAAGUCUCGGGAGAGAGAGCAGGGGAGGGAAAGGGGAGAGAGAAGAAGUGGGGAGGGAGGAAGGAAAAGAAAAAAGAAAGAAAAAAAAAUUCAUCUUACAAACACCCAAAGUUUUUCUACGACUUCUACAGUGAUCUACAUUAAAGUUUUAUACAAACACCCAAAAAACUCACCUUUUAAAUAGUCCCGAUCUUUGAAAGUUUGACAGAUACCUUUGUAGACACCAAAAUUUUAAUAAUCCCUUCUUAUUAUUUAUUUCAUUUUUAUUUUUACCUUUUUAUUCUCAUUUUUAAGGAAAUUUUAUUUAUUUGUUUGGUUAUGCAGGAAAAGAAAGAGAAGGCAGAAAAGAAAAGAAAAAAUAAAAAAAAAGGGAGGAUGCCUCACGCGCGCGUGCGCAUCAUCUUCCUGGUUUCGUACAGAAGCCAGGAACAAGUCUCAGGAAUUGCAGCCGGCCAUUUGAUCCAUUUCCACUCGUUUCUAUUGCAUUUUUUUCCCUCCAAGCCCUUCGGUACAAUGCCAACUCAUCCUAGUUGGAAUCUAUCAAGAAAUAUCCAGAUCAAAAGCCACCCGAUGGCUUCAAAAAUGCCACAAAAAAAAACCCAUUUCAUCUGCACCAUUGAAGCAAGGGUUUGGGAGGUGUUUUGUGCCUAUAAAAGGCUCAUAAACGCAGCCCUAAAGAAAGAGAACAAGGGAUAGGUGGCUGAAGGAAGAAAAAAACAGAAAAGAUAGAGAAACCAGAGAGAAGAAAGGAAAGAAAAUUUUCUGGAAAAUUCGAUACCGGGUUGAUCGAGCAGCCAUCUUUGGAUGUCAUUUUCUCUUUCUUUUUAGUUAUUUUUUCAUAUUAAUACUCUAUGGAGGUAGAUAAAGAAUUUUCGUGUUGAAGGUCUCUGGAGAAAACAACUUUAAAGCCAUGAAAUCCGACGCCAAAGUUGGAAGAAAACCAGCCCUGGUUCCGUCGUAAUUUUGUUGAAAAUUUUUCAAUCCGCUUCCACUAGCAUUUUCCGGGUUCCAGUUUGUUUCUAGAGCUUCACAAGGUAUUUUUAUAACCUCUAUUAGUUUGAUUCGACACUAAACUAAGAUAUUUGCACGAGUUUAUGGGAUUUUGCAUUUUUGUUGAUUUUUGGUUGAGAUUCCUUAUGUCUUGGAAAGCUGUUCUUUUGAUGGUUUAAAAAUUAGCUAAAAAAUAGCGUAGAAGAUGACUUGAUGUUUGCUUUUGAUAGAGUGGCCGAAUAACUUGUAGUUUUUGGUGUUUCCAUGGUUGGUUCCGUCGAAGUCAGUUUCAUGGCUUCUUUCUUGCAUUAUUAUCAUAUUUGCGCCUAUUUGAUCUUCAAAAAGGCUUUGUAUCGGAGUUUUUGGUUGUGUUAAUGAGUGGUAUAUUCUGUUGGAUUUUAGUUCACAAAUCAAUGGUUUUGUUUGAGCUCAUGCAUGAUUUUCCACGUAUAAAGCUGAUACUUUGCGAAGAAAAGUUGCAGAAGAUGAAAUGAAGAAGAAAGCCUCGGUUCUGAUUUGCAUGAAACUUUUAAAAACUACAUUUCGACCCCUAAAUUUUCACCUAAUUUCACUAUGACCUAAAAACUUCUACAAAUGAACCAUCUUGACCCCUUUUAAAUUUUAAUCAUCUUUUACAUAUUUUAAACAUGUUUGUGGGCGAAAUAAUUCUGGGUUUUAAGACAUUAUUAGGAUUAAAUAAUUUUUUUAGUUGAUUUAUUAUCCUAUUAGGUUUUGGUAAAAUAAGUGUGGUUUUGGGUUAAGGGUUAUUGUUUGGGUUUUGGUUAUGAAUUUUAGUUAUUUUGAUUGGGUUUUUUUUCGUUUGGGUUUCUUCGAGCAAAACUAUGGGUUGGCUUGUGUAUUCUGCCUCGGACUUUCGCUGGGCUUGGGGAGGUUUCAGCCCAACUAAAGCAAAAGAAAAUGAAAGAUAGCCCAAUGGCCCAAUUCCUUAAGAAACACUGAGAAUUGCAAUAUGGUCCCUGUACUCUUGUAUAAUUUUGUUUUGGCCCUAAAAACUUUAGUAUUCUUUUAAUUAGGUCUUUAAUUUAAUUGUGCUUUGGUACCUAAAUUUUUUUCUUUCAUUUUGACCUCUAUUUUUUGUAAUAAUUGAAUUUAACCCCAAAAAUUUCUUAAUUUUUGUAAUUAGGUCCCUAAUAGUUUUGAUUUCUUAAAUAUAAUUUACUUUUCUUCUUUAAUUAUAGAUUAUACUUCAUUUAAAUACUUUGAUUGGUAGAUUUCAUGAUAAUUUCCAUUUAUUUAUAAUUAAAUUAGUGUCUUAAUCAUUUUGUUCGUUUUGGAGUAUAAGUAGGGCAAAUUUCACCCUAUUUAAUCACCACUUCACGAGAGGUAACCUCUUUUAUUAUUUUAAACUCUUUCAUGUGCUCCAAUGUGUUUUUAUGUGUAAUUGCAGGUUUUGAAUGUUUUUUCUUUUAAUUAGUCAUUCUUAUUCAUUUUUAAGUUUUAUUUGUUUUAUUUAAUUUUGAUGAUUAUCUGAGAGGCAUUAAAAUGCCAAGUUGUAACAGAUAGGUGCUCAAGACAUGUAUUUUGCUAGUUUAUGCAAUAGAUAGGUUCUAAUUUUUGUUUAAAAUGUAUUUAGUUAGAUGAAUAUAAUAAUUAGGUUAUUUUUUUUUUGAAUUCCCCUUUAGAUUGUAGUUAGGGUCCGAAUGUAAUAGUUAGGCUUUUAUUUGCAUUUAUUUGUUUGGGUGCUUGCAUGCUUGUGUGUUUAUGUGUUUACUCAUUUUCAUUUGGGUUUUGUAUCUAGAAAUUAUGAUUAUGUGUUAUGUGCUCUAUGUGCAUUAUGUGUUUAUUUGUUUUAAUUAUGCUUUAUAUGAUUUAUUUAAUUAUAAUAAAUGCAUGACGUCACCACAUCAGUCCAACGCUAAUUGUGACCUUCCUUCGCGAUUUCUCACUAGUCCCACGCUAGUGAGAACUUAUAGACAUGGGUUAGUUAUUUAGUCCAAUGCGAGACUCUUAGGGACCGUCCACGCACUAUAUCAUGUUUUUGUGACAAUCACUACAUUUCAUGCAUAUUUUCUACUUUUUAGAAUCCCUACCAUUUGGCAUGAUAUUUCCUCUAUAUGUAUAUUCCUUAUCCCUAUGUGCGAAAUAGAACAUUUAGACUUGCGUUUCAUUUAAGAAACUUAGAAAUAUGUGAGAUCAUUUGCUUGAUUAGAUUAGGAGAGCACCCCUUCAAAUAUGGGAAAUGAACAAGUAUAGCUACUUAGUCUUAGCACGCUCGUGUCUCCUCUAUAAGAAAAAAAAUUGAGUUACAAAUCUUAGUCCCCCGUACUCAUUAUCAUGCAUUCCUUUAGCUCAUGUAUAUUUGUAUAUUAUUAUUUUUCUUUCUUUUCUUCGAGUCUCAUCUUUUGCAUAUUCGUAACCUUUUCAAAGAGUCACUCUUGGGCGUCUCAAUUAAUGCGCUUUGCGCCAAUUAAAUUUUGAAGAGAUAUUUCGACCAUCCCGAUAUCCAUUAGGUCUAGAUUUGCAUAGAUAUAGUAACAUAUAAAUGUGAUAAGUUUUAUAGGUUAAAUUAAAAAAUUUUUAACUAAAUCACACAACUAACCUUGACUAGAUUGAAAGGGUGUCAUAGAUCAAAUCUUUGUCUUCUCUUUCUUCAAUCGUGACUCCUGAACUUUUUUCUUUUGUUUUCAAAGACGUGGAGUCGUUUAAAGAGGGUUUUACCUAUUUUUUUAUUAAAAAAAUAUUUUUGGGUGAUUUGGUACACCUUAACUCAAUAUCAAGUGACGACUCCUAUUUUUUUAAACUAUUAUUUUGGGCCAAAAUCGUCGCACUUUUAAAGUCCCAUGUUAGGCUCUUUUUCUGCAUUUAUUCUCUAAAAAUCAAAAACUCAUUUUUACUCAAAAUUAAUCAAAAAUUCAUUUUUUAUAACACGUAAUUUUAUUUUUCAAAAAAAUGGGGCACGACAACCUUUAUCAGGCGGGACACAUACGUUUAGAAAAACAACUUUAGUAAGUUUGGAAGCGAAGUUGUUUUUUAUAAGAUGAGUGAAAAUCUUUUACACAGUAAAAUAUUUUCAGUAAUUUUGUGCAACCAAACAUGGGAAAUUAGGAAAUUAUUUUUCUCGAAAAGAUUUUCAACCGAACACAAACAGACCCUUAAUGCAGUAUCAAUUACUUCUGGAAAGCAACUUUGCUAUAUAAUGCAACCACCGAUACCCCAAGCACUAUUUAUUUGACCAAAUAACAAUCUUUUUUCUACACAUGCUUCAUGUCAUGGAAAAGUCUGCAAUAACGAUCGUUAUGAUAACGAAACUGUUUUUACCUGAUAUAACAGGUAGAAACAAUUUUAGUGACCAUUUGAUUACCUAUUGGACUGGUCACCUAAAUAAGAUAGUACCUAAAAAUUUGAUUAGUAAGUUUUACAUAAAAAAUAGUAAGUUAACUCGAUAAAUUAGUAACUUUUAUGUCUCAACAAGUAAAUUGGAAUAAAUAUGGAACUUACUUUUUUUUUAAAAUAAAUUACUACUCGAUAUCCAAAACUUACUUUUUGGAGAGUAAGUUUAGUUCAAGUAAUACUAAGUUUUUAUAGAUUAAUAGUAAAUAUUGUUGAUAGAAUAGUAAAUUUAGUUAGUGGUCAAAACCUACUAGUUUGUGGUAUAAAUUUACUAUUUUACUUAAAAAACUUAUAUGAAACAAGUAUUAGGAAGUUCAUUUGAAGUAAUGCUAAAAUUUUUUAUUAAUGAUUAAAACUUAGUAUUAUAGUUAGUAAUUACUCAUAAUGUAAAUAUAUGAUACACAAUUGUACGUAACAUUUAUAAAUGUUAUAUUGUUUAAGCAUUUUAACUAUACUAUGAAAACUAUUUUUUUUUGCACAUGACCUUUAAAAUAUGUAAGAAUAAUUUGUCAUAUUAUAAAUUUUGAAUUAUUUUUGAAUUUGUGAAAGGUUAGAAAGUUUGGAUGACAAUAACAACAAAUCUUUCAAGUUAUAUAUAGAAUUGCACUUAUCUAUACAUCACAAUUUUCAUAUAUUAAUACCUAUGAAUAUAAUAAAAUGGUAAAGUUUUAAUAAAUUUAUUUACUGGGUCACAAGUAUAAAAGUUAAAGUUGUAUUAUAAUAACAACAAAUCUUUCGAGUUGCAUAUAAAAUAGCACUUACUUAUACAACACAAUUUUCAUAUAUUAAUGCCUAUGAAUUUAAUAAAAUGGUAAGAUUUUAAUAAAUUUAUUUUCUGGGUCACAAGUAUAAUAAUUAAUGUUGUGUUAACAUAGCAUAAUUUUUGAAAAUUAUAAUAAAAUUACCCAUAUGUUAAGUUUUGUGACUUUCAAACAUACUUUGUAUCAUUUACAUUAUGGAUUUGUAUCCAUAUUUUUCUAUCAAACUCUUUUUCAUUGGCAAAUGGUAUAUAAAUUAUUAUAAAAUGUCAUUUUAUAAUAAUCAUAAUUUUUUAUAGAUGAAUGUUAUGCAAACUGUUAAAAUUAUCAAUUCACAAAUGGCUAAAUCUUACUACUUAUGGCAUAUAUUAGUCUAAUUGACUAAAAAAAUACUGUAAUCAUGUAUACGUUGAUUGUUGAAUUGAAAUUUCGUUUAUUACUAGUACAAGUUCUUCUAAUCAAAGCAAAAUAAAAUCAAAUAUCUUUCCCUUUUGUAUGUAGUAGUUAUGUUUAGUAGAAAAUUAUUAAACCAUUUUUACAAUACAUAAUUUCUCCUAAAAUUAGUAAUAUUUUCCAUGACCUCUAACCUUAUCAAUAAUACUAACGACCGACAUGUAGAUAAUCUUAAAAGCAAAAGCCAUCAUUAUGACAAAAAAAGAAUAUUUUCAUGCUGAAUAAACAAAAUUGUAAUUCUAUAUAGAAUCGAAGAAAUUCAUCAUGAAUGAAAAUGAAUUGCAAAGUUAUUACAUUUCUAAUUUCAUAUGUAUCUAGAAUUUCACGCAGCAUUACUUUAGAGGAACUUUCCUUUUUCACACUAAGGAACCAAUCUCAAUCUCUUCGUCUCUUUUAUUUUUUCUUUAACCAUUAAAAUACUAAAUAAAUUUAAUUCCAUUUCAAGCUCUAGUUAAUUGUAUACUAAUAUUUUACACAACAAUCAAUUGAGCACCAAUUUCCUUUUUUUAAGUAGCUAUUAUUUAUUUUAUUACUUUGGUUAAAUAUUUACAUAUAAAAUAAUAACAAUAGAAUGCCAAUCCUCGGAUCAAUGAAACUUCAAUUAUUGUUAAUAAAAAUAAUUUUACAUUGAUAAAAAUUAGUCUACAGAAUGAAAAGUCAAUGGCAACAAUUGCUAAAAUAUAGCAAUUUUUAAUUGUGGGAAAAUAAACAACUAAGUUCCCAAAAUAUUUCACUUUUAUUGUUUAAAAAAUCUCAACUUGUUAACUAAAUUCAAAAUAAUUCUAUUGUCAAAAAUAUUUCUCCUCAAAUUAACUUUAAUGAUUAGAGAUGAGAUACAAAUAUGGCAAAAUAUCGCUCAUACGUGUGUCAUGGAUAUUUGAGACUUUUAGUAAAAAACUUUUUGUUGUUAAAAUAACAUUGUAUCAUAGUGUACUAAUUAUUUUAGAACCAUUUUUAUACGUGAACUAAAUUUAAUUUAAAUUAUACAAUAUAUUAUAUAUGCAUGUGAUUUUCAUUUAUAAUUGUUGGAUCCUAUUUUUUAUGAACAAUCUCCCAAGGAAAAAAGUUCAGAUCAUACUGAUUUUCUUAUAUUAAUUGUUAUACUAAUUUUGUCAUUUUUAUUGUUAUAUUAUUUCUCAUUUUGUUUGGGCUUUAGCUCUUAUUAUUUCUUGUGUCCCAGGUCUAAAUUCAUUAAAACUUUAUCAUCUUAUUAUAUUCAUAAGUGUUAAAUUAUAAAAAUUGUGAUAUAUAAAUAAGUGAUAUUCUAUAUAUAACUAGGAAGAUUUGUUAUUAUUGUUAUUCAAACUUUUCAGAAAUUGAAAAUGAUUAAAAACUUAUAAUACGACAAAAUUUUAUUACAUAUUUUACGAGACUAUGUGAAAAGUCAAAUUAUUUUUCAUAGUAUUUUAAAAUAUAUAAAUUCAAAAUUUUUUUAAAUUAUACUUAUAAUCAUGUAUUAUACAGGUAUAUUACGAGUACUUACUAACUAAGGUAAUAUGUAUUAAUCAUUAAUAAAACAUCUUAUCGUUAUUUCAAAUAAAUUUCCUAAUACUAGUUUGAAAUAUGUUUUAAAGUAAAAUAGUACAUGUGUCCCAUAAUCAAUAAGUUUUGAUUAUUAAUCAAAUUUACCAUAUUAUCAGUAAGAAUUACUAUUUAUGUAUAAAAACUUACUAUUACUUGAAUUAAACUUACUCUCUAAAAAGUAAGUUUGGGAUAUAAAGUAGUAAUUUAUUUAUUUAAAAAGUAAGUUUAAUAUUUAUUCAAAUUUACUUUUUGAAGUAUAAAAGUUACUAAUUUAUUACUGUUAACUUACUAUUUUAGAUGAAAAACUUACUUUCUUAUUUUUAAGUGUUAUUCUAUUUAGAUGGAUAGAUCCAUCAAGUAAUCAAAUGGUCGCUAAAAGUGCAACAACCUGUUAUAUCAGGUAAAAAAUUAUUUCGUUACCAUAAUUAUCGUUACUAAAACAUUGUACUCGUGUCAUAAUCAUCGAGCUUUACAUGAAUUGUUCAUCAAAAUUGGUCUCCCAACUUUGAUCUUAUCAUCUCAUUCUACCAUUUAAUGCGACAGCGAAGAAAGUGAAACUAUACCAUAAAUCUGCCCGAAUACCAUCAAAUAAAUAGCCUACAUGAAUGUGUUAUGUACUAUAAUCUUUUUCCUACUGCAGCUUGAUGAAAAUGGGAAAUAGUUUUACCCUUCAACUCGUAUAGACACUGAACAUACACAAUUUUUUUUUUUUUACUGCAGUUUCUACAUUGAUCUCCUUUUUCUAAUAUUAAGUAACACGAUGAAUUAAUCUCUUAAACUUCCAAAUUGCGGUAAUUACAGACAGAUGUUUGCCAACUUACAACUACAGCUUUGCCAAAUUUCUCAAGACAAAGAAAAAUAUUUUUAAGUAGGCAUCUAUGUGCAAUGUAGGUAUGAAACCAGAGAAUUCUAGUAGGGUUAAUUAGAAAAAUCCAGAACUAUUCAGGCGAUUCAUAGAAUUAUACUUAUUAAAACAUGUCCUAAUAAUUAUAGUGGAAGCAAUUUAAAAAAAAUUAAUGUUGGGAACAAAUUAAGCUAAAUAAAAUAAUCAUUAUCUUUGUCAUACCUAACAAUUUCAUUCAAAAAUAAUUAUUGUCUUUUUCAUACUUAACAAUUUCAAGCUAAUUAAAUCACAGGUGUUUUUCUAAAGAAAAAAAGAUAGCAAGACAAAAUUGUAUAGUUUAGCUUAUUAAACAUCCGGUUUUAGAUAUUUAUCAAACAUUAUAGAUAGAUUUAUUAUUAAGAUUCAGAUAUUCAUAUAUUUCUUUUUAUUAGUUAAAAUUUAGCAAAUUAAUUGUUUCAAUAUUCAGUUUCAGAAUUCAGAUUCAAUUUUAUCAAAUAGGACCUUAGUGUGAACUCUUAAUUGUAAUUGAAUUUGAUAUUUUAAAAUUGACAUUUAAUACAAACUUUUAUGUUUAACUAAAUUUGAUUUUUUCAAAGCCACAAUUAAUACAAAAUCUCAAAUUUAACUAAAUUUGAUUUCUUGUCAAUCACAUUUAGUACAAGACAAAGACAAAGAAACGGUAAAAUGGGAUUUAUAUUACUUACUCGAAAUGAACUUUUUUUGUUUUAAGAAAAAUACAAAGAAAUUAAUGUUAAAAGAUUAACUCCUUUUCAUAAAUUUUUGUCAAAAAGUACAUAGGGAAAUGGAUGGAUUGGGUGAUUCGAAGAAGGACGUGUAAGUGAGAGAUUUUGGUUUUAAGCUUCCCACUUACGCUAUUAAAAUAUAUAAAUUCAAAGUGUAUGUAAUUAGACUAAUUUUUGGGGAUUAUUUAUUCUAACAUGGUCGACAUUAUUGAUGAAAUAUGGCAUCAGCAGAACCUAACACUUUGGAAUUCAUCUGUCCCAGAAUUUCAAAUGGUAACAUUUUUCCUUAAAAUUGGAAUAUUUAUUUUAGGGAGGUAAGAGCAUCCGGUGGAAUUGAAAUAUGAAUUUAGCUAACGGGUGUGCAAUUGGCCCACGUUGAAAUAUCAGCUUGGCUAACCGGUGUUCUAAUGGCCUUCACUAAGUGGGGCGUUAGGCAUUAAUUUUUGAAAAAAUGUAAUUAAUUUGAAAAAUUAUAUAAAUUCAGGGGAUAUAAUAAUUGUGAUUGUGUGAAUUUAUAUGGUAAGUUAGAUGUAAUUUAGGUACAUUAACAAAUAUCCACCUAGAUGGGAACCUUCACAAAAAUCCCAAGGCAUUGUUGUUUUGAGAGAAGGGCAGGGAAAGGAAAGCAAACGGAAAUGGAGGGAUAAAGUUUUUAAAUUUUGGAUUAGUUUUUGAGGAGAGAAAGAAAAGGAUUUGGAGGGAAAGGGAGGGAUAAAAUUAGUUAUUUUUUAUCAACCUGUUUCAUGUCCAAAUGUGGGCAAAACAAAGGGAAACGACACCAAAUUAAUGAAAAUUUCAAAAUGUUCUAAAAACCUAUCAUGUAUUUAUAAAUUAAAUUUUAAAUUAUGGAAAAAAAUAUAAUUGAUGCAUGAUAGUUUUCUUUCCUUUCCUCUCGUAAUCCAAACAAAAUAGACAGACUUAGAUUUCUUCUACUCCCCUUUCUUUUCUUUUCCACUAGAGUCUUCUCCUUUCCUUUCCUUUCUUUCAAUCCAAACGGUGCCUAAAAGAAAAUACAAGAUGGUGCGACUAAAAGUUCAUACCAUUCCUAUGGACUGUCAAUUGCAUCAAAACACGAACUUUGUCUAUAUAAUGUGCACACUUUGUGACUGAUUUCUGUCGAGUGCUUAGCCCAUGAUUGUUAGUGUUGCUUGUUGGAUAGUUUACUCUCAGUAAAAUACUUUGAGAUUUUAGGCCAUAGUAUAUACUUAUGGCUUAUAAGGUGCAUUACUAAGACAAAAAAUACCAAUCAGCAACAACGGUAAUAUUGGGUUUAAAUGAUACAAUACACUAGGAUAAUGUGCAUUUUACCGACUUCAUGAAUGUGAAGAACUAAAUAUUAUGUAUUAAUUAUUUGUUUUUUUUUCCGGAUAUAUUUGGCUUCAAUUAGCGCUCAAACUCGAGAUCUCACAAGUAGACAAAGAAACCAUAUUUUUUAGGUAUGGUUUCUCUUUAUUGCUAGAGUUGGUAUCAAAUGUACUUAGGAGACUGAGAUACCUUAAACAACCUUAAGCCAGGGCUAUGAGCUAUAAAACAAGAAGAGGAUGAACUACUAGAAGAAGAAUAUGGGCAUAGUAGGGCUGUCAAAUAAAUUGAGUUGCUCGCAAAUAGUUUGAGUCAAAACUCGAUUCAAGUUAGGUCAACAUCGAACUCGAAUCGAGUUCGAGUUAACUGAGUUGAACUUGAGAUCAAAGAUACUUAACUCGUUAGUUCGCAAAUCGACUCGAUUUUAUAUAUUUAUAUUUAUAUUUUUUAUUUUAAUAGUAAAAUUACAUAUAUCCUUAAUAUUUUAUUAUUUGUUAAGAAACAUUACUAUUUUAUUCAUUUUUAAAAAUAUAAAAUAAUUAUUUUUUAUUUUUUUAAACUCAAGCUUGAGCCCUACAAUAAGAACUCGUUGAUUUUGAGUAGGGGUGGCAAUUCGGGUCCAAAUCAGGUUGGCGGGUCGGGUUCGGGUCAACCCGCCAGAAAAUCUGUUGACCCGAACCCGACCCGCCAAACCGUAACGGGUCAGGUAUGCUGACCCGAACCCGAAAAUUUCAGGUUGACGGGUUGACCCGAAAUGACCCGAAACUUAAUUUUAAUUUAUUAAUUUAUCACUGUAAUUUCUAAUAAAAUCAAUUUCUCACAAAACUAAUUACAUAAUCAAGUAAUAAAAAUUUAAAUAAGUAAUUUCAAACCAAAUCUAAAAUAAAUUAAACACCGUAAAAGUGUUUUAUCCCAAACAAAAUAUAAAAUAAAUUAAAACAGUAUAAAAGUAAAAAAUAAUAUAAUAUAUUAUUUGUCCAAAUAUAAUAAUUUCAACUUCACACAAAUUAAAUAAAGUCAUUUAUGAUUAAGUAAUUAAUGCCUUUGAAAAAAAGAAUAACUUAGGUUAGUUAGAUAAAAUUAUAUUUAUAUUUAUUAAAUUAUUUUUAAUUUGUAAACGGGUCAUAUCGGGUCAUAUCGGGUCACCACGGGUUGACCCGAAAUCGACCUGUUUUCUUUUCGGAUUCAUCGGGUCCAACCCGAUUCUGACCCGAAUUCCCAAAACCUCAACCCAAACCCAUUAAUUUCGUGUUAGGUUCGUGUCGUGUUUUCAGGUCGUGUCGAAAAUUGCCACCCCUAAUUUUGAGUUUGAUAAAAUUAAAUCAAAACUCAACUCAAUUAAACAAAAAUUUGACUUGACUCAACUCGUUUACAAACCUAGAUAUAGAGUUACAAUAGUGACAGGUUGUCGAUGCCUGUGCAAUAAUAAAACCUGCUCAAACUAAAAGUAAUUUCUGUAGAUAACGGUAAGCAGGGUCGAAUCCACAGGGACUGGGAGUAAUUGUUCCUUUUCAAAUUCACAGUGACAAAGGGGAGUGUUUUUAUAUCAGGGGUGACAACUCAACUAAAAGUAAAAUAAUAAAAAUAAAAUAGCCAACUAGAAAUUAAAAAAACACAAUUUACUAAAAUCAAAGGAUCUAGCCAAGGAAUAACUUCAGCAAUGGUUCACCUAAUUGAUCAUUGAUAAGCAAAGGCAAUUCCAAUUAUUUACUAAUAAAUAGGUUAUAACUGCCAAACAAGCGAUGGCAGUCAGCCCCUCCUUACUGUGUCGGUGAUCAAGGUACGCUCGUUAAUCACUUCUUUAAUUGGAAGAACAAUCCUAGGUACGCCCAUAAGAUUUAAUUUCCCAAUUGCCUUACGUAUUAGAGGAGCCCUAUUCUAAUCAAAUAACGCACUACCAGGGUUAUUUCAGAUUAGCCCGCGUAUCCCCCUGACACGAAUCUAAUCGUGCCAGUUGUCACUAUUUCAAGACAAUUAAACAAUUACGAAUUUAAUGUCCUAAUUGACAGUAGAUUAUCCAAUCAAUUAACCAUCCGGAUCCAAGACAAUCAACUAAUUAAAUGACCAUAAGCAUAGCAAUCAAGGAAUAUGCGAAUACUAAUAAAUAAAAGAAAAAAAUUAAAUUAAAUCGAUCUUACAAUUUGUAGGCGAGCCAGAGCCUUCGUUAUUUCUUGACUAGAAUGAGGAAAUUAGUUCAUAUUUGAUGAACUGAGUCCACACAACAUUGAAGAGAAGCCAGCGGCCAUGGUCCGUUGAAAUUUAGCAGAAUCCAACUCGUCUCAAUAUAUUGAAUGAAUAGAAAAGCUACAAAAGUUCAUAGUUUUCACUCCGUCUGGCGCACAACAAUGAAGAAAAGACUACUAAAAGCAACUAAGGAAGAAAAGUCCAAGCCAUGAAUGGCUAAACUCCUGACAUUCGUAAGUCCCAAGAGCUACUAAGAAGCCAAAGAAAAGUCAAAGGCAGCAAGUCUUCAUUGUUCCUGCCAUGCGUUUCCGUUCUUUGGUCAAAAGUCUAAAAAGGAAGAAGAAAUCUAAUUCUAAGCUAGAAGCUGCUGCCCCUUCUUCUGCACCAUUUUCUCUUAUAUCCUCCUGUUCCGUGCGGCGGCUCCAGGGAGAAGAACACUUUUGGCACAAUGACCGAAAAGGGCUCAUGUCCCUACUUCCCAAAAAUGCCCUUUCGAGCCUUCUAUUUAAUUAAUUUCCCGAUGAUUGUCAAAUUGGCCUUAAUUGUAGUAUUUUCAUUCUACUCCCUGAAAUAAAUGUAAAUUACGAAAAGUGAGUAGAAUCCAAUAAUUAAUUCACAUCGGGUCAGGUAAUAGAAAAAAUUAAUAAUAAAAUAAAUGAUAAAAUUGCACCCUAUCAAAUAGCUCUAUGAAUUACCGUAAGACAUAGAGAAUAGAGAGAUUGGUACAUAUCCUCUUAAUAGUUAAUUCCCCUCGAGGCAACUCUGGUAUGAUUGAGCUAAAGCUCAUUGUGCCUAGCAAAGGGGGUGUAAGUACAAUGUUUUACUCUUUUUUCCCCUUUUUUUUUUUCUUUUCUUCAAAAGAGGAUUAAUACUGGUUCAAUUUACAUGGGUUCAAAUACAAUGUUUUACUUGUUCAAAUGGUUCUGCAAAAUUUAUUUUUCAAAACCAAUUAUGGCAAUCCAAGCUUUACUAGUUUUGGGCCCUAGAUUCAUUUUUCUCAGUUACGUAGACCACUGAACAGAACUCUUUUUUUUUCCCUAUUAUUUCAUUUUUCUUUUGUGUGAAAUUUUGACCACGAAAUAUAACUAGAAGCAUCUGGACCUGUCCAUAUUAAACACAUCUAUAGGAUGGAUUACUGAAUAAAAACGAGCUUACGUAUUUUGCUAAUGUGCCUUCUCUACAAAGUGGCACAAUUCAAAGGAAUUCUUACGCAGGUAGACAAACUAAAUUAAAAAAGAAAAAUUGAAAAGGGAGAUAUACCACCUUUUUAUUAAUUUUUUUAAUUUGGUAAGUCUUUUCUUUUUGAAAGGUUAGUUUGGUAAAUCAACUCAAGUAAUGAAGUAACAAAAGUAUAAGCUUUAGGGGUUAUAUAUUGAAAUCAGCAAAUUUACUGAAGAAAAAUAGGUCCUUGUGAGUACGAAGCAACCACUUGCUUCAGAAUCACAAUAAAAUCACAAAUAUUCAUUACUCACAAAUAAUAUUUAUUUCUGUUGUUCAACCUUUACAAACAUUGCUUGUGAAACUAACAAGCAUUAGCUUUAUAAUGACAUAGCACUUAAUAGCACACAUUUAUUCGUGCAUCCAUUUUAGAAGACACCAUAGCAACUUCAAACACGCUAAAUACUUAGAAGAUAUGUCUCUCUCUCUCUCUCUCUCUCUCUCUCUCUCUCUCUCUCUAUAUAUAUAUAUAUAUAGAUGGUUCAAGCAUUUUUGAUGUGAUGAGAUUCAAUGUCUUCAACCAUGUGAAGGAAAAAGUUGAGCAAGGUUCCUGGAUGUGGGGUAUCUUCCUUCAGCUUCUCAUAGUCGAGAGUCCAUGUAAUCAAACUUUCUUUGUCACCAAGAACAUCAACAUGGUAUAUGAUAGUGAAGGUCUUGUACAGCUCCAUGAGAUCUCCUUCAAUCAUCUUAAAUACGAUUGAUUUCUUUUCUUCAUUUAUGUCUUGAAUAAUCUGCUUUGCCACCCUAUCUUUCCCGUCUGUAAAAAUGAAAAGUAAAUCAAUUACAGACUCUCCAAUUCCUAGUCAACAUGCUGGUAAUCCAAAAACAAGGUUUGCGGAAUUCUUUCUUUUCGGUUUUUAGGGAUAGACAAUACUAUUCACACAACCAGGGAAGAAUUCUCGUUGUGAAACAUCUGGUAUAUCGCAUAAAAAACUUGAGAAAAGCAAAAGAAAAAAAAUUCUGUAGUAUUAAUUAAUUGAAUUCUUUACGAAGAUGGACUUCCUUAAUUAACCUCUGUAGUUUCCACAAUCAGAUUAUUGUCUUCGUAUAAAUACUAAUAAUAAUAUUAAUAAUACGGUUAAUAGUAAUAGAUCUAGUCCGUUUUUCAUUAAAACUUUUCCCGAGGCAGAUAUUAAGCUUUUAUCCUUUCUUUUUCCUGGCAAAUAAGUUAGAUAACUAAUUGUGUGCCAGUUCAAAGCAGGGAAAAACGGAUGGAGAGAGUUUAAAUCAACUUAGUCCAGAAGCUGACCAACACGCAACAAAAGCUAAAUGAAUAAAGGAAAAACAAGAAAAACUGCGGGGAAGAAAGAGCUUUGAAUAUUGAUUCCAUACCAUGGGUAUAAUGCCAGCAGAUUUUGGAUCCAACAGUUCCAAGAUCACCACCAAGCAAAGUAAACCCUUGAACUUUCUCAGGAGUCAUGGUGGCAAGAUGGUGUGGUCUUUUGCUGAAGACAUCAUGGAACACAUCUCCAGCAGGGCCAUGGAUGUUAGUUUGACCAAUCAUUUUACCUUUGAGCCCCAUUUUUUUUUCUGAGAAACUGAGAAGGAAAUGACCAAAUACUGCUGCAGCAAAAAAAUGCAAAGAAAUAUUGAAGGAAGUCUCAGUUGUGGUCUGCUAGACUAUCCCUCUGCUCCUUAUAUAGUAUAGAACUGAUGGGUGACUUCACCCCCCACCUCCACCCCCACCCUUUCUUUUUUUUAAUUGGGGUCUAUAAACCACGUAAGAGGAACCAAUUAUCUUCGCCGAAACUAUCAUUUUUUUCCCUAGUUCUGACAUUGUUAGAAACUUCUUUUUUUUUUUUUUAAUUCAUGAGAUGUUGUAUUGGUACAUCAGCCCUAAUAAAUGAUACUCAGCAUCCAUUAAAAUGUGAUUAUCCUCAUUUUCUAUUAAUCUAUAAUCAUAUUACAUCUAUAGUUUUGCACUUAGGGUCAACAGACUCGACAUCAUUCAUUUUUUUAAUGCCUACAACUAAGGUUUUCUUGUGGGCAACUUAAAUUUUAUUUUAAUCGAUAUCUCUUAGUCUCAUUUUUGCUUUACGACAAGAAUACUUCACCAACAUUGGAUAGAAUGAAGGCCAUCCUUGACAAAUUAUUUUGGAGAGAUCUACUUCUCUUGUCCAUGGCAAAAACGACUCUCCAGUAAUGACUCUUAGAAGUUGGUUAACACAAUAAAUGAUAUGAAUUCAUGAGUUUGGGAUAGUUGGCAAGUAGGUUGCUAAUGUCAAUAGGAGAUCGCAAGUUCGACUCCUGCACGUGGCGUCUUGAAAAACUCUAGUAAGAUGCUCAUCUCCGAAUAAAAGUUAGACUUUACGGAUGCUCCUUGGAUCGAAUCCGGAUUAGUCUCACGAAGAGUGGGAAUAUUGGGUGCUUAAAGCAAAAUAAAUAAAUAAAUAAAUGAUAUCCUCUUCUUACAUGGUUUGUGGUAGGUGAUAACUGAGGCAUACUAUUACCAAAUGGGAAAUAAACUGAUGCCAUACCACUUCACAUGAUUCACACAACACAUAAAAUUUCUUAAUUGUUUCCGGCACUUGGGCCAUAUUUCAUGGGUUGGUCAACUUGGGAUCCUUAUCAAAGAUUAAUUGGCAGACAAGUUAAGGUCUUAUUUGGAUUACAGUUAUCUUAAGAAUUUUUUUUACAUUUUGUGUGAACACAUUUAUGAAUCAUAUUUUUAUUUCAUAUAUAUCAAAUUAUUGCAACAUAUUUUUUUUUUUACAAAAACUUUUAAAAAUAGUAGUCCGAUUGGGUUCUUACCUAUUUAAGACUUCGAUGUUUCGCUACCAAAAAAAAAAAUACAAUUAAAAACUCGUCUUAUGUGGAUGCGGGGCACUGGUGAGUGAAGCAAGACCAACGCCGUGGUGUAAUAUGGGACAUUGACUUCAAAAUUUGGAAUUCAACUAUCGAACAUCAAAUUAAGCUCAUCCGGUCCAAUCAUUGUAAAUUGGAUGAUUGUUUUGGUUCAACCGCACCAACACUUAACCCAUUUUAUGUGCGCUGAGGAUGGCCCUCCCGACUCGGCCAUAUCGAGCUCAACCCUUUGUUAUUUGGGAUGGGUCGCCACAAGUCUUGGUUAUCUCGGCUAGACAUCGCAUACGGAUAAUUGAGGUGACUCCCACAUUCAUUGGUACCUCGGAUUGGUGCUGUGCUUGACACGACAUCCAAAGUCUUAUCAGAGAACUUGAUACUUGCAUGGCGGACAAGACAUCUGAUGGGACCUGUCUACUGCUCCAUCUUGUCAAAUCAGACUGGACAUGCUUAGUCCCUGCCAGGUCCUAGGAAGUUGAAACCCACUAUUCCUUCCUCCCACUUAUCCCUUAUAAAUACUACUCCUUCUACUUCAGGGGGAGGAGAAAAAAAAGAGUAAGGACUCUUCUAUUUCCAUUCCAUUAUUAACUUUCCAAGAAAACUAACUUAAUCAUCGAAGGUAUCCCGGGGGAAAAAGCCCCGCCUAGUGUGUGUAUCAGGAAAAGAACACCACCAAAUCACCUCAAUCAGGAAGAGGAGGCAUCUGGUCAGCUCGGCUUGAUCAUCCAGGAACAGUGUCUUCAUGUAUAUAUCAACUUUCUUUUCAUAGGAUGAAGACAAGUUUGCAGUAAAUACCAAAUACCCACCAGCUACACCUCACAUCACCCGUUUUAUGUAAAUGAACUUUCUUUUUUUUUAAUGGAAUGAAAAUAAUUCGGGAAUAAGUUUGCAGUAAAUACCAAAUACCCACCAACUGCACCUCGCAUCACCCCGUUUUAUGUAUAUCAACUUUUUUUUUUAAUGGAAUGGAAAUAAUUCAGGAAUAUGUAUUAGUUUUCUUACGAGUUUCAAUUGGAUACUCCUUAAGACAUCUAAAGUACACUAAAAUUAUCAUGUGAAAAUACAUAUUAACAUUUAUUAUACCUCCUAAAUUGCAACAUUUUUUUUUUUGAAUUAGUUAUACUUUUUAAAAAAAAAAACUAAUAUCUAGUACUUUUUUAACAAGUGGCCAAUAGACACUCGUCAAUCAAACCGUAGAAUUAGAUACCCAAAUCUUUUAACCCAAAAAAAGGUCCAAUUCAGUCGGGGGGCCAAACUAGGGAUGUAAGCGAGGCUACUCGUGAGUAGCUUGGUCAAUGGCUUGGUUUAAACUCGAUUAAACCGAGUUCGACCAGAGUCUCAAGCUACUCGAGUACACAUUCAAGUCGAGUUUGAGUCAGAAUUUUGCAACUCGUGGCUCGACGACUCGUCGAGCCAUAUAAUUUAAAUAAUAUAUAUAAUUUAAAUAAUAUAUGUAUUAUAAUUAUAAAAUGACAGUUAUGGGUAUAAUUUAUAUCGAAUUUACAAGUAAGGUAUCAAGUCAAAAAGCUUGAUUACUCGACUCGAUAAGGCUUGACUAAAGGUCGAGCCUUAUCGAGUCGAGUCUCGAGCUUUUAAAGAUUUUCUCGAGUCAAGCUCAAGUUUGAGAUUUUUCGACACAAUCGACUUCGAGUCGAGCUCGAGCCAAGUUAUUUAUAGGUCGAGUCGAGCUCGAGUAUAGCAAUACUCGAGCUCGACUCGGCUCGAUUACAUACCUAGGCCAAACAAGCUAUAUGUCACUCAUGUCUGGGGGGUUAUAUUCUCAGAAGUGAUUUUCAAGAUAUAGGCAGAGUAGUGGACUGUAUUAAAUUGGGACAUCGUAAUUCGUAAUUUUUAUCACAGCAAUCUUACUUGAAAUACAGGAAUUAAUGAAAGUUAGGUGCAGUGGACAUUAUUUAAUGUAUUUAAUAAACUAAUAGAGGCCCCUUUGAUUCUUGACUCAAUUCUUGACUAAUGGAUGCAAAGAAACAAGUCCCCAUAAGAGUUAGGAUAAAGUUCGGUACUAAAAAAAACUUUGUAGGAAAUUAAACCAAGCUAUUUUAGUAUUAGUCUCGUAAUUCUUUUUGUUGUCUUAUUUGUCUAGUUUUCAUAUUAAAUUAGGAAAUCUCAAUCAGUUUCCAAGUAAGUUUUGAUUUACAACUGUAUUUGUUUUAGGAAAUUUUGGAGUUUAUAAAUACUAACAGCUUAGUAAGUAAUUAUUUGAAGUGUUGAGUUGAGUUUUAAGAGUAGGUUUGAGAGAAAAUCUCAUAGUUGAGAUUUGUGAGUUGUUAUGAGCGAAAAGCUACGACUUGAUAUUUAUUAUUGUUGGGUUUUGAAUUAAAUAAAUUAUUGACUAUUUGUUUUCUUCCUCUUCCCACAUAUUUUUAUAUGUGUCAAAAUUGCUUCCGCUGUGCGCGAGGAUUUUUGGUGUGCUAACAAGUGGUACCAGAGCUUUAGACUUUGAUCCUAGGGCUUGUCCGCAAAAUUGGGGCUUAGAGCUUGUUCAUGAAAUUAAAGUAUGGAUCCCCAUUAUUUACAACAUUGUCUAGCUUUUAUCUUUGAUGGUAAAAAUAAUUUUGAGACUUGGAGGUCGAUGAUGAAGGAUUUUUUCAAAGAUAUUGGAAUUUGGAAUAUUAUCCAAAAGGGAUUCACGGAAUCUAUAACAGGUACAAAGUUAUCAAGUGAUGCAGUUAAACAAUUAGAGAGGAAUAAACAAUUAAAUUACAAGACAUUUUACUAUCUCAGUACCCAAAUCCAGUUACAAGUAGUGAAAAAUUCAUACAUGUAAAGACAGCUAAGGAGGCUUGGAAAUUUUUAAUAAAAUUUUAUGGCCAUAGUGGAGAAGAAAUUUGUGAUGAAGAAGAAAAAGAAUAUUUUGAUGAGACAAAGAAAGAAAAAAUUGUAGAAAUUGUGAGUGCACAUGAAGAUGAAAAAUUUGUGAUUCAAGAAGAAAUCUCAUGUGUGGUUGAGAAAAAAGGUGAAGUCAGUGAUGAAGUUAAAGAUGUGCCUCAAGAUCAUAGCAACGUAGAAACUGUAAAUUUUGUCGAGAUUGAUGAAAUUUUUGAAGAGAAAAAUCAAGUGAUGGACUUGGUUGAGAUCAAUUGUGAGGUGCACAAAUUAAUUGAAAAUUGUGAUACUACUAAAGUUGAUGCAAUUAUUAGUGUGAAACAAAAUAAAGGAAAAACAUGGUGAUGUUAAAAACAUUGAUAGCAACAACUAUGAUUUUCUGAUUUUGGGAGAUUUUCUUGGUGACAUGAAUGAAUUAAAUUAUGGAGUAUCUAAUGGAGUAUGGGUGAGUAUGAUUGAAUUUUUUUGAUAAGAGUGAUCAAACGAAGAAACUGUUUGAGAAGUACAAGUUUCAUCCACUAUUGCACGUGAAAAUGAAGUUGGACAUCAAUUGCAAAUUGGUGUUCCACAUCAUCUAUUCAGCGACGGAGUUUUUCAUGGAGAUUCAAGCUUAUGAUGGCAUUGGAAAUGACAACAUUAAGAGCUUGGUUUAAGGGAGGCAAUGUAGGAAAUUAAACCAAGCUAUUUUAGCAUUAUUCUCCUAAUUCUUUUUGGUGUCUUGUUUGUCUAGUUUCCAUAUUAGAUUAGGAAAUUUCAAUCAGUUUCCAAGCAAGUUUUGGUUUACAACUGUAUUUGUUUUAGGAAAUUUUGGAGUCUAUAAAUACUAACAGUUUAGUAGGUUAUUAUUUGAAGAGUUAAGUUGAGUUUUAAGAGUAGGUUUGAGAGAAAAUCUCAUAGUUGAGAUUUGUGAGCAAAAAGCUACGACUUGAUAUUUAUUAUUGUUGAAUUUUGAAUUAAAUAAAUUAUUGAGUAUUUGUUCUCCUGCUUUUCCCACAUAUUUUUAUAUGUGUCAAAAUUGCUUCCGCAGUGCAUGCGUUUUUUUGUGUGCUAACAAACUUCGAUAAAGCAUUGACUGGCUUUAGAAUACAAUUGCGCUACAUCACAAAAUGGAACAUAAAUAUAGAUGAGGCAUUUAAAAUUUAUGUCAUGUUAAAUAUUGGAGUAUUUCCCACUUUUUCUGCUAAUAGACGUGUCCCUGUUUGGAGAUUUGUCUAGCAAUGAAGGUUGUCAAGAUUUUUUUAUAUAUUUUUUUGGGGGUGGUCCUAGUUGGGUCACCGUCUGAGAUUUUCUUGGCCUGAAGAAAUCAAAUAUUGAUACCAUUAAGCCCAGAAGAUAUUUUUUUUCAAUUAAAAAGAUGCAACUUUGGUUGGUUUUCAAUGCAUUUUUCAUAAAUCUGCAAGCUAACUGAGUGUCCUGGGCAAAAAUUAAUUGGUCACCAAGUUUUAGCAUUCUUAUGACUUUAAUGUUUUCUGUGAUUUUGGAACCAGGUAACCAUACCAUCUUUCUGAACUUUUCUUUACCAAAAAAAAAAAAAAAAAAUUAUAGCAGGACAAAAUUAAUAGGAGUUCGUGUUAUUUGAAAAAAUCUAGUUUUAUGUGGAUCCGAGGGACCGGUGGGUGAAAGAUCAAUAUCUUGAAAUCAAUAUUGACUUCAAUGUCUUGAAAUCAAACAUGUAACAUCAAAUUUCCGUCAAUGUAACAUCAAAUAGGAGUUCGUGUAAUAUUUAUUUCUUUAACAUCUAUUACUCUGACUAUAAAAUAAAUUUUUAUACUUACUGUUGCGUAAUAAUUUGUUAUUGAAUCAUGAGAAAAUGAGUUUAAAACGAUUACCUAUUACCUAACAUUUCACUUCUAUUUAAAGACGAAAGACAAUAACAGUAAUAAUCAAUAAAAAAUAUUACAUUAUUGGGAAUAAUAUUUAAAAAAACAAUGGAAAUGCAAAUGUUUAAAGAAUAAAUAGUACCGGAAUUUCUAAUUUGAUGUGAAUGACAUUUUAAUCGCUGUAGUUGGGAUUUUGUCCUUCGAAUUUGAUGUGAGAUUUCUCUUUCGUCAACGCAAAGUUGAUGAAACUUUUCGAAUUGCAGUGUGGAAUCGUUGCAGUGUACGUUUCGUUUUUCGCAAUCUUGCGAGUUUAAAAUUUAAUUGUCGUUGAAAUGCUUGUAGGCGGGCAUGCUCCAUAGUGAAAUUAGGUUAAGGGCUAAGAUGGAUACCAUAAAAAAGUUGAAGGAGAUAAUAAGUUUUUGGAAAAAACGCAAAAAAGUUUUCUUAAUUGGAGUGAGCACGCAAGAAAGUUGAAUGAGGAUACUAUAUUUUGGAAGAAUUUUAAUUAGAGUGGAAUUCUUAAAUUGGAGGACUCUUAAGUGGAGUGGGAAAGUAGGAGAAAUGUAGGGAAAAUGUGAGCAUGAUGAUAGAAUUUUUAGGAGAUGAUUAGUUAAGAGAUAAACAUUUCUUAAAUUAGAGGACUCUUAAUUGGAGUGAGAAAUGUGGGGGAAAUGUGAGCAUGAUAUAGGAUUUGUAUUAUACUGAAUAACUUGAUAGUAUACUCAAAUCACCGAUGAGGUAAAAUUUGCCUAAAUAAGUUUUACAGUGUCCUAAUUCCUUGAAAAAAAAAUUGCUAAAUAGUCCUAAUUGGCACUACAAGUUACGGCAACGUGCCAGUGGCAUCUAGUCCUAAUUUUUUUUGGGGUCAAAAUCUAGUCCUAAUUGGUUCUGUUGUUUCUUGAUCAUGUUGUAUGCUCCUAAAUUCUACUUAGCGUGUAAUAAUUGAUAAUGGCUUAUUCUAUUCUUUCAUGGUAUUGGACAGGUGAAAAUCACACUAGAAGUGUGGUAAAUUUACUAUAAACUCCUAAUAUUAUCUCCCCUAAUUUUUGUAUAUUUUUUUAAAAAUUUAAACUUUUGUCAACAAUAGGCUGGUCAUGCAAAUAAAAAAAGGGAAUAGUCACACAUCUCAUUCUUUGCCCUAAAGAACUCAAUUUAGCAAAUUUCUUAGAAUAAUGGUGAAAAAAAUCACAACAAUGGAGGAACCUGGGUUUGUUUCCUUCUUUUUUCUUUUGGAUUUGAAACAGCCCUAUUCAGUUAUAAAAAAUAAAUAAAUUAGCCAUCUUACGUUCAUUAAGAAAGGGAAAAUUUUUUGGUCGCUGCACAUGGAUGUCCGGCCAUCCUAAAGGGAAAAAAAAACAAUUGUUCCAUUCUUGCGAUUUUUUUUAGGGUCUUAACUUUACAUUUAGUUGCACAUUUGUGAUUUUUUUGAAACGUGAUUGUAAUUUGUAAAGGUCAUUUGUAAGAGUGGCUAUAGGAUUAGUUUAGUGAUAAAUAUUUCUUAAUUAUAAAAAUGUAAAAUUGUAUUAAAAUAGCAUACGAAUGAACAUUUGUCUUUAAUUAAGGAGAAAAAAAGAUUUAAAGUAUAAAUAACAAACUAUAAACGGUUUAUAAAGUAGAUAGCGGGAAAGUUUGAAAUUUUAAAUUUGACUGGUGAUAAGGUUAGUCAUAACCCACUAUUUUUUAUGUAUUAAAAUAAAUACAAAAAUCUAGAAAAAAGAAUAAGAAGUUGGAAGCUAUUGAGAGUCUCUCUCCUAAAAAUCCACUCUGCAAUACAUAUAGAUAUAGAUUUUCCUAUCAUUCUGCUAAUAAACUUGUCCCUAUCUAAACCUAGAGAAAUGUUCACCAAGUCCUACUUGGGUGACACAGAUUUUUCUUGGCUAGUAGAAAUAGACAUUGAUAAUUUGAGAGGUUAAAUGAAAAGUGUGAAUAUCAAUUUCCAAUAUAAGGGUAUUUUCCUAUCUUUCUACUAAUAGACUUGUCCUUAUCUAAACCUAGAGAUAUGUCCACCAAGUCUGUCUUAGGUCAGAGUCUGAGAUUUUCUCGGUUAGCAGAUAUCGAUGUUGAUAGUUUGAUAACAUUAAGUCCAAAAGAUUAGCUGGGCUUGGCUCUGAUCACUAUUUACGGCAUGUGGUGAUUCAUGAUCCGUGGUCGCAAUCAAAGUCAAACCCAUCUAAAUUGUUUAUUAUAAAAAAAUUAUUAAUUACAAAAGAUUUUUUUUUUUUUUAAUAAAGGAUGCAUUCUUUGGUUGGUUUUCAAUGGAUUUUACGUAAAUCUGCAGGCUAAUUGAGGUCCCUACCAAAUAAAUGGAAAGAAAAUAGUCCGUACCAUGUUAUGUUAAUUUCCAUGGCUUGGAGGGGUAGUUUUGACACCCACUCUACACAUGAUUCAUGGCUUAAUUAAUUUGAGUUUACAGAUAUCCACUCAAAUCAAUUUGAUAUGACAGGAGUAGGGCUGGCAACCCCGUUGUCAAAUAACUCCCCCCGUCCCCCGUCCCCCGCCCCAUCCCCUGUCCCUUGCCCCCAUCCCUCACCCCGUUUCCCCCGCGGUCCCCCGUGAGUAAAGAAAUCAAUUUACAAAAAGUAAAACUCUUCUCAUAUAUCCAAGCAUUUUUGAGAACUAACAGGAGAGAGGAAGAAUUCCCAAACACUAACCAAAAAUACCAAGAACAGUUAAAAUCCAGAAAUAACAAAAGGCAAAGAUCAAUGGAAAACAUAAAAAAAAAAAUCAGCAAAAUGAAGGGAAAAACAAACCCAUGGUUGUUGAAACUGCUUAUAAACGAUAUCAUAGGUCAUGGAAAGAAUUCUUGUUCCAUUAGACUCUCGUAUUUACAUUUUCAUUGAGGCUUUUAGACAAACAUCUUAUAUAUAUAUAUAUAUAUAUAUAUAUAUAUAUAUAUAUAUAUAUAUAUAUAUUUUAUGCGGGGGACGGGGCGGGUGUACGUUGCCCCCAUCCCACGCCCCGUUUUAAGGCGGGGGUAAAUAUUUCGCCCCCACCCCGCCCCCACCCCAUUUCUACCCCGCGGGGUGGGCACCCGCCCCCAUUGCCAUCCCUAGAUAGGAGACAAAUGAUGUAUCACUUGAUUUUUUUUUUGUGUAUAUAUCAUAUCUUGAUUUUUUUAUGUGUAUAUGUCAUAUCACGAUGCUAUUGCAAAUUUUUGUUUAAAAAUUACUUGCAUAUACAAAUUCAUCCGUGACGUGCAUUUGGAUUAGUCUAUGAGGAUAUGGAUCCAAUUAGACCGACAGUUUCCUUUUCUUUUUUUUUUGUCCAAUCAAUGUUGUAGCGUCUCAAUCCCUAGGGUUCUUAGUGAUAAAUCAAAUUGACAAAUUAUUAAUGUAACACAUCACUAAAGUUGUGCAAGUUGUAACCAAACCAUUUAAUAUUCUCAGACUGGCAACAUCAACUGGUUAAACUUUUAAUUCAUCUUCUUGCUAGGAGACAAAUUUUGCUUUUCUUCUACAAUUCUAAUAGAAAUUUAAUUUAAUUUAUCCACUAUAGAUAGUCAUACAAACUGAGCUAACAAUAAAAAAAGGAAAAUACUGCAGAAUGUACCAUCUAAAACCACAGAGAUAAAGAGAUUCCGCAGCUCAGUCACAACAUUGCACUUUUACCAUGUUAUUGUAUAAUUUUAAGAAUUAGUGUUUUAUACACCAUUAGCGUAAAGUUUUUUUUUUUUACAUUAAGAGGUACAGAUAUAUGAUACAUAGACAAAACGUGAAUUUAAAGUUUGAAUAGUGAUGAAGUGGCAUUCAUCUAAAAUAAACCUACUUGUGUAAAAGAAAAAAAAACUUUACACUAAUUGUGUAUAAAAAUUGGUAGCAGCAACUAUGAUUUUCUGAUUUUGGGGGAUUUUCUUGGUGACAUGAAUGAAUUAAAUUAUGGAGUAUCUAAUGUAGUAUGGGUGAGUAUGAUUGAAUUUUUUGAUAAGUGUGAUCAAAUGAAGAAACUGUUUGAGAAGUACAAGUUUCAUCCACUACUGCACCUGAAGAUGAAAUUGGACAUCAAUUGCAAGUUGGAGUUCCAUAUCAUCUAUACAGUGACGGAGUUUUUCAUGGAGAUUCAAGUUCAUGAUGGCAUUGGAGAUGACAACAUUAAGAGCUUGAUUUAAGGGAGGCAAUGUAGGAAAUUAAACCAAGCUAUUUUAGCAUAUUAUUCUCCUAAUUCUUUUUGGUGUCUUGUUUGUCUAGUUUCCAUAUUAUAUUAGGAAAUUUCAAUCAGUUUCCAAGCAAGUUUUGGUUUACAACUGUAUUUGUUUUAGGAAAUUUUGGAGUCUAUAAAUACUAACAGUUUAGUAGGUUAUUAUUUGAAGAGUUGAGUUAAGUUUUAAGAGUAGGUUUAAGAGAAAAUCUCAUAGUUGAGAUUUGUGAGCGAAAAGCUACGACAUGAUAUUUAUUAUUGUUGGAUUUUGAAUUAAAUAAAUUAUUGAGUAUUUGUUCUCCUGCUUUUCCCACAUAUUUUUAUAUGUGUCAAAAUUGCUUCCGCUGUGCAUGCGAUUUUUUGUGUGCUAACAAACUUCGAUAAAGCAUUGACUGGCUUUAGAAUACAAUUGCGCUACAUCACAAAAUGGAACAUAAAUAUAGAUGAGGCAUUUAAAAUUUAUGUCAUGUUAAAUAUUGGAGUAUUUCCCACUUUUUCUGCUAAUAGACGUGUCCCUGUUUGGAGAUUUGUCUAGCAAUGAAGGUUGUCAAGAUUUUUUUAUAUAUAUAUUUGGGGGUGGUCCUAGUUGGGUCACCGUCUGAGAUUUUCUUGGCCAGAAGAAAUCAAAUAUUGAUACCAUUAAGCCCAGAAGAUAUUCUUUUCAAUUAAAAAGAUGCAACUUUGGUUGGUUUUCAAUGCAUUUUUCAUAAAUCUGCAAGCUAACUGAGUGUCCUGGGCAAAAAUUAAUUGGUCGCCAAGUUUUAGCAUUCUUAAGACUUUAAUGUUUUCUGUGAUUCUGGAACCAGGUAACCAUACCAUCUUUCUGAACUUUUCUUUACCAAAAAAAAAAAAAAAAAUUUAUAGCAGGACAAAAUUAAUAGGAGUUCGGGUUAUUUGAAAAAAUCCUAGUUUUAUGUGGAUCUGAGGGACCGGUGGGUGAAAGAUCAAUAUCUUGAAAUCAAUAUUGACUUCAAUGUCUUGAAAUCAAACAUGUAACAUCAAAUUUCCUCCUAUGGAGAGGUUGUUUAGGGGGAGUUUCUUCUCUCCUAGAGAUUUUUAGUGAGAGUUUUUUCUCUCCUAAAAAUUUCUGGUGAGAGAUUUUGUGGUUAGUCUACCUCUUAUAUUAGAUAUAAGUUUUUUUUUUUAGAUUUGAUUGUCAGAUCUAAGAUUUCUUAGAUCUACCCUAUCAAAUCUCACUUUAACAUAUGAAUUUAAAUAAGUUCAUUAGCAGAUUUAAAAGGAAGCAAUUAGUAGUAUAGUUGGAAGCAUACACGGAUGAUCUUAAGAUCAUGAAUAUUUUAUCUUUUAAUUUUUUUUAGAAUUUCAACGUUAUAUGCUAUUGACUUUCUAGAUUUGUAUAAUUGAUAUAAUUUCUGUCAUUAACGCAGAUUUAAUGAAAUGAUGCUGUUUUUUUAUUUAUUAAAAAUAAAUGUAACAUCAAGUUGAGCUCAUGCAGUCCAAUCAUUGUAAAUAUCAUUGUAAAUUGGAUGAUGCUGUUGGUCACCGCUCAACACCUCAACCAUUUUUAUUUCUUUAAUUCUUAUAGAAUGAAGACAAUUUAGCAAUAAAUACCAAACACCAACCAACGCCCCUCACCGCACCCCGUUUUCCGCACAUCAACCUUCUUUCAUGGAAUGAAGAUAAGUUAGGAUUCAAUAACCAUAUCCUUUAACCGACGAAAAAAAAGAAAGAAAAAAAGAAUCCGAUUUAGUCCGGGGGGCCAAAGAAGCCAUCUGUAAUUCAUAACUUAUAUUCUCAGAAGUGAUUUUAAUUGUCAGAAGAUCAAAAGAUGGGCAGAGUGGUGGACUGCAUUUAAUUGAGAUGCUGUAAUUCGUAAACUUUAUAAGGGCACAAGGGUUAUGAUAAAAUUUGGUACCCAAAAAAAAAAGAAAAAAACUUCGAUAAAGCAUUCGUGGGCUGUAUUUUAGCAUUUUCCACUCGCGCUACGUCAGAAAAUGGAACAUGAGCAUAGAUGAGGCAUUAAAAACUUAUGUUACUUGAAAUAUUAGGAGAAGUGAUAUCUGCACUUUCAAAUUAGUCUCUAGUACUGUUUAGAGACUAUACUCUUAACGAGUAAAUUGAAGUGCAAAAAAGGUUAAAUGAGGAGUGCGAAUAUCAAUUUUCAAUACCAGAAUAUUUUCCUAUCAUUCUGCUAAUAAACUUGUCCCUAUCUAAACCUAGAGAUAUGUCCACCAAGUCCUACUUGGGUGACACAGAUUUUUCUUGGCCAGUAGAAAUAGACAUUGAUAAUUUGAGAGGUUAAAUGAAAUGUGCCAAUAUCAAUUUUCAAUAUAAGAGUAUUUUCCUAUCUUUCUAUUAAUAGACUUGUCCUCAUCUAAACCUAGAGAUAUGUCCACCAAGUCCUACUUGGGUCACGGUAUGAGAUUUUGUCGGUUCGGAGGAAUCGAUGUUGAUAGUUGGAUAACAUGGAAGUCCAAAAGAUUACGUGGGCUUGGCUUUGAUCACUAUUCACGGCAUGUGGUGAUUCCUGAUCCGUGGUUGUGGUUGCAAUCAAAGUCAAACUCAUCUAAAUUGUUUAUUAUAAAAAAAAUUAUUAAUUACAAAAGAUUUUUUUUUUUUUUUUAAAUAAAGGAUGCAUUCUUUGGUUGGUUUUCAAUGGAUUUUACGUAAAUCUGCAGGCUAAUUGAGGUCCCUACCAAAUAAAUGGAAAGAAAAUAGUCCGUACCAUGUUGUGUUAAUUUCCAUGGCUUGGAGGGGUAGUUUUGACACCCACUCUACACAUGAUUCAUGGCUUAAUCAAUUUGAGUUUACAGAUAUCCACUCAAAUCAAUUUGAUAUGACAGGAGACAAAUAAUGUAUCACUUGAUUUUUUUUUUUUUUUUGUGUAUAUAUCAUAUCUUGAUUUUUUUUUAUGUGUAUAUAUCAUAUCACGAUUGCUAUUGCAAAUUUUUGUUUAAAAAUUACUUGCAUAUACAAAUUCAUCCGUGACGUGCAUUUGGAUUAGUCUAUGAGGAUAUGGAUCCAAUUAGACCGACAGUUUCCUUUUCUUUUUUUUUUGUCCAAUCAAUGUUGUAGCGUCUCAAUCCCUAGGGUUCUUAGUGAUAAAUCAAAUUGACAAAUUAUUAAUGUAACACAUCACUAAAGUUGUGCAAGUUGUAACCAAACCAUUUAAUAUUCUCAGACUGGCAACAUCAACUGGUUAAACUUUUAAUUCAUCUUCUUGCUAGGAGACAAAUUUUGCUUUUCUUCUACAAUUCUAAUAGAAAUUUAAUUUAAUUUAUCCACUAUAGAUAGUCAUACAAACUGAGCUAACAAUAAAAAAAGGAAAAUACUGCAGAAUGUACCAUCUAAAACCACAGAGAUAAAGAGAUUCCGUAGCUCAGUCACAACAUUGCACUUUUACUAUGUUAUUGUAUAAUUUUAAGAAUUAGUGUUUUAUACACCAUUAGCGUAAAGUGUUUUUUUUUUUUUUUACAUUAAGAGGUACAGAUAUAUGAUACAUAGACAAAACGUGAAUUUAAAGUUUGAAUAGUGAUGACGUAGCAUUCAUCUAAACCUACUUGUGUAAAAAGGGAAAAAAAACUUUACACUAAUUGUGUAUAAAAAUUAAUCCCAAAUUUUAAUCAUAGUCCUUAUAACGUAAAUUAGAUUAGAAAAGCACUUGCAUAUUUCUCUAUCAUAUGCUUUACGCUGAACUAGUCUUUUGAGCAUAAUCAUUAUGCUAAAAAUUUCUUGACAACAUAAUAGGGAAACCUGUGGAGUUUGAUGAACCAACGGAGUUGAUGAAAAAGAAAUAUUGGUCUCUUUGUCAAGCUCUGCAGAAUUACAACGAAAUUAACAGCAGAGACAGUGUGUGAUCCUUUUACAUGGCUUUCUAGUAAAUAUAACUCCUCAAACACAGCAAUAAAAAUUUCCUUACAACUUCGUAAAAUGUAAUAAAACUACCAUUUGUGGGUCAAUUUCACGAGUGUGCCUAAAAUAAUACCAUAAAAUUAGUUAGUGCGAUAAUAGACAUGAUGUGCUAUUUAUCGUAUUAAUUGCCUUUUCUUUUUUUUUUUGGUACAGGAUAAAAGGACAAAUCGUUAAUGACUAUCUUGUAGCUCUCUACAUGUUCUGAAUGAAGGAUAAUAAUAUCUUCUUUUGUGUGAAAAGAAAAAAAUGAUAAAUCUUAAGGAUGCAUAUGCUAAGUUCUAUGAUUCCCCUAAUGCCAAAUAUUUGACAGAGACUAAGCCAACUAGUAAUUAAAAUAAGUUGAUCUUGAGGGUAAAAUGGAGGUAUCAAAAAUAUUAGUUUCCUAGAAGUUCUAUGAAAAUUUCCCUGUUUAAGGUAAAAAAAAAAAAAAGAACCAUGUUUAUUCAUCUACAUAGCCUCAUCAUAACUUCAAUAUAGAAAUCAUUUGUCAUGUGUCAACAAUUCAUGGUAGCAUGUGUUGUAUCAGUUACAGGACUUUAGGGCAAACUUUAGCUUCCUAUAAAACAUUUAUGAUUCAAUGACUUUGGUGCACUCCCAAAAAAGAUGUUCAAAGUAAUUUGAUUCAGCUUCGUCUUGAUUAGAUCGAGGAACUCAAGCCAAUAUGCGCCAACUCCCGAGUUGGACUUUCUGGUCACUUCAAUGUUGCCCUAAUCCAAAUCUUUACACUAGGAAAAUGAGUUCAACCAAAAAAAUAUUGCAGUAUUAAACUGGCCUCUGAGAGAGGAAUCGAGACAUAAAGUUUUCAAUACGUAGAAAUUCAUUAAACAGCUGAUAAUAAUUACAUCGAUCGAUUAUUGGACCACACCAUUAACAUAUGAUAUUAUCAUAACUCAUAGGAGCAAGCACACAAUCUAUUUCAGGUUUGCACAUGGUACAACCUUCGUCGAGCUUACAUUUAUUCAAUACACUAACUGGAGAUCUUGGAACUUCCAAACACACAUGUUCGUGCCAUCUAUGAUGACAAUUUAGCACCCCUUCAUUUGAGAUGGUGAGUCUCAAUAUCCUUAGUGACAUGAAGGCAAAAGUCCAUCAGAGUAUUUGGAUCUGGGAUAUUGGGAUUCUUUUUCUCAUACUCGAAGGUCCAUGUAACCAAGUUGCUUUUGCCAUGGGCAUCAACAUGAACUGUUAUGAUGAAGGUCUUGUAUAACUCCAGCACAUCUCCUUCAAUCACCUUGAAUGUGAUUGACCUCUUUGCCUCAUCUAUGGCCUGGAUAACCUCUUUGGCCACUUUCUUUUUUCCAUCUAAAAAAAUUGAAGAAUUGAACGAGAAGAGUGUGAAACUCUAAAGGUAAAAAAAACAAAAUUCAGUAAUUAUUAAGGCCAAGAAAAAUAAAUUUUCCUAGUGGCCUCGCAACCAUGCAAAGAUUGUUAACAUUUGACCUUUACUUGAACCUUUCAAUUUUAUCUUUCAAUUUUUUUAGCAGGUGAGGAUGAAAUUUAAGAAAUUACAAGAGGGACGAAGGUGUUGAACAACCAGGCACCAAGAUCAUUUGUGAGUUGAAAACUUUGCUCAAAUAGAUCUAAGCAUUAUACAUGCAUGCAGAAUCAUAAACAAGAAAAGAUGGAAAUAUUUGAAAGGAACAACGAAAAGAAGGAAAAUCAGGAGGAAAUUCAGAUACCGUGAGUAUAAUUCCAGAAGAUGACAGAUCCGACGGUUCCCCAAUUACCAUCAUGCAGAUCACAACCUUGAAUAUGAGUAGGGCUCAUCGCAGAUACAUGGUGUGGUCUGUGCCUAAAAAUUUCAUGAAACACAUCUCCAUCGGAUUUUAUCUCGAUUUGGUUAACGAGCUUACCAGUAAGACUCAUUUCUUCUAGCUUUUUUAAGCCAAGAAAAUAUGACUACUGAAGGAAGAGGGGUGAGGGAAAGCUAAAGACUGAAGGGCCUUUUAUAGUUGAGUUGUCUGCAUUACUUAAACGCCAAAACGUCAUAGUGUACUAAGGGCCAGCUGUGUUUGUCUCGUUUGAGUUAAAGCUUGAAUUGGUUUAAGGAGCCAUUUGGUUUGAAUUUCACAGUCACUGUCAUUAUCUGUAUCAUAGGGUGAUCAAUGAUAAUAGAUUUUGAUGAAAACCCAUAGUAUAUUUAUUAAUGUAAAAUGGAUUUUAUAAUUUAUAAUUUAUAUUAUUUCUUUUUUUUUUUUCCAUUUGUUGGAACCAGUAGAAACGAUGGCAUUUUUUUUCUUAUUUUUACAUUUAAAGAGAAAAAGAUAAAUAAUUAAAAUGGCAUUUUGUUUUCCAAUUUUUAUAUUUAAGGAGAAUAAGAUGGGUAAUUAAGAUGAUUUCCUAGUGAAGGUGAUUAAUCACAAAACCCAUAGAAGAGGCCUAUCAUUCCCAUUAGCCUCAAACAAACAUCAUAUAUGGGUGUAAUUGAAUUUGAAACUUGUGUUGAAACCCAUUUACUGAACAUCCCCUAAUUUUUUAAUGGAUUGGGUUGUGUGCCUUAUCUAAAGACCAAAAAGUCUCAACUAGGGUAUUCACGGUAAAGAUUUUGUUGCAAAAAUUUCAAUAACAAAAAAUGUAACUGACAAAAUGUGUUUUGCGCAUUACAUUUAUCUAUUUCUCAUAACAUAUUGCAUAGACAUCAUUAGGAAUGCAAACGAGUCGAACCGAAUCAAGUUUCGGCCUAAUCGAGCCAAGGCUCAACAUAAUUUUAUGAAACUUCAACUUGAGUUUGAGUUCGAGCUUAAAAAAUAAAAAAUAAUUUUAUUUUUUAAAAAUGAAUAAAAUAAUAAUUUUUAAUAAAUAAUAAAAUAUUAGAAAUAUUUAUAUAUAAUUUUAUUAUUAAAAUAAAAAUAAUAAAAAAAUAUACAUAUAAUCAAGCUCGAUCCUGCUCACGAAUUAAUGAGUUACCAUUCAAUGGGGGUAUUUUUGGAGUUAACCCCAUUAAUGAGUUAACUCCAAAAAUACUCAACAAAGAAUGGUAAUACUUGGGCAUUGAUUGGGAUCCCAUAAAGUGGAAAUAUAUUUUUUUUUGGUAACAUCAAAGUUAGAUCCGGACCGGAUUUGUCGGUUCGAUUGGUCCGACUGUGAAUUGAUUUUUUUUUUCAAAUUGGUUUGUAAUAUAAAACUGAUUUGAUAAAAACCUAUCGAAACCACAAAAAAUCGGUUAAACCAGUGACCUAAUUCGACUGGUUGAUCCGGUUCUUAAACUUUUCUUUUUUCUUUUCCCUAAACAUAAUUGAGUUACCUAAAUUGUAAUAUUUUCAUUUAUUAAUAGAAAUAAAAAAAGUCACCCAUUUAGUGUAAAUAUCAAAAUCACUCGCUUUCUUAAAUGAUUUUUAAAUCAAGAUGUAUUCAUUCCUAUGAUCUCAUUAAUUUAGCAUUGUGAUUCCAAUUUGCAUUAAUUUGUUUUAAUUUAGUUUUUCAAGUAGUUUUGGAGAAUGGACAUAUUUUAACCAAGAAUUUACAUUUUUAUAUAUAAUUAUUAGGUGUAUAUUUGAUUGCAUGUCUAAUAUUUUUGGAACAUUUUUCAUGAUUGACGAAAUAUAACCAAGAACUUAAUUUCAAUAUUUCUGAAACUUAUAAAAAUAUAAAAUAAUUAUAACAUCAUGCUGAUAUCAGCAAAUUUUUUAGAACGGUUCAAUUGAUCUAACCAGUUGACCACCUCUGAUCAAAUAGUUUAGCCGAGUCGCUAUCGGGUCCGAGUUUAACAACAUUGGAUAUCAUUUGGUGGUGCAUGAUUUACCAAUCCAUCAACCAAUUACGAGCACUACAACUAAAGUACUUUAUUUUCUUGGCAUGCAUUGCAAUUGCACUUUUAUUUUAUUUUGUUUUGUUUCUGGGAUAUAAAUUAUCCUCAAAAGUUGUACUUUAUUCUAGUUGGAGUAAAAUAUCAUCAGCGCUAAUAAAAUGAUUUUUGUUCUCUUUUUCUUUUUUUUCCCUCUUCCCCACGAAAGCAAGUAAAUUUAUAUUUUAGAGAGAGGCAACAAAAUCUCCCUGUAUUAUUCCAUUUCUUAUUUUUAUUCAACUUAGAUCUAGCACAAUGAAAUCAAAGAUAUGAAAAGAUACAUAUAAAAAAAAAGCAAAAAAAAAAUAGAGGGAAAGACAAAUCUUGCAUUAUGAAAAAAGUAAACAAAUAAUACUAAUAUAAGAACAAUAAGAAAAGGAAUAACAAAAUAGAAGGCUUAUUGGACUUUUCAUAGAUGUAUUGGGUUAAUAUUAAUAAUUUUUUUUUACAUAGAUAAUUUGACAUUUGAGCUACUAGUCUUACCCAGAUAAGUUCCAAAGUAUGUUAAUUUUGGACUUGAAUCAUUUUUACAAUCCCAUAUUCUAUACAAAGCCAGAAAGAGUGAAUUCUUUGAAUCAGUACCUAGUAAUUUUACUUAAUUAACUCCAUGUGUAUAAUUUGGAACCAAUGUAACUAUAACUGUCUGAAUAACAAAAUAAUUAGUUUAAUGUUUAUAGUACAGUGUAAUCUUAACACAUGAUCGGCAUUCUCCAUUAUUUUCACGGAGUCGUGCCAACAACACUAGGCACUCCAUCUUUUACUAUCCCUGCAUUUUCGUGAACUUUGUCCAUGAAUAAGAAGCUUGCAUGGUGUUGGAAAUUAAGAGUUAAAUGUCAAUGUCACUACAUUUCAUGAAAAAAAUACCAUCGAAGCUAAAACCUCCAGGAUGAGGAUUUUAUGUAAGUAAUGAAAUCGGUUUUAUGCAUGUAAAAAUACCAUAACAACACUUAGGCAUAAAUUAUAAAGCCCUCGUUUUAUUUAUGUUGCACAAAGAUUCUUAUAACAGAUGAUAGGCUGGUUACAGAAUUACUAACAUACCAAAACAGUACAACAAGAAAACACACAAUUACUUGAGUCUUUCACAUUGGACAUGCCACAAUCUUUUUCAUCAAGUUCACAUCCUUCACAACAUACGCUUACAAAUAUAGCAACUUGUAAUCAAAUUUAUGCUUCAUAUGAUCAUGAUUCGGAAAUCAUAGGCCCUUCAUUUGAGAUGGUGAGUCUCAAUAUCCUUAGUGAGUUUGGUGGCAAGGUCUGCUAUAGUUGUUGGAUCAGGGACGCUGUGAUUCAAUUUCUCGUACUGGAGGGUCCAUAUAACCAAGUUGUUUUGACCAUGAUUUUCAACCUGAACAGUAAUGAUGAAGCUCUUGUACAACUUCAACAGGUCUCCUUCAAUCACCUUAAAUGUGACCGACUUCUUUUCCUUGUCUAUAGACUCAAUUAUCUCCUUCGCCACCUUCUUUUGUCCAUCUGAAAAGACGUGAACAGUGGAAUUAAUUAACCAAUAGAUUAGGUACUGGAUUUUGAAGCCGAAAGGCAUAAUUUUAAACGGCCAAAGUCUCGCCAGCGCAACUUUAAGCAACGUAGACUUGUUGAGUAUUUAAGAAUGCUUGACCAACUUAUAAAGCAAUUUAAUGCUCUUCACGACUUGCAUGUAGCAGAUAUAACAAGAAAGAUUGACAGAUUUGAACUUUGGAAGGAAAACCCCCAAAAAAAAAAAAAGUAUUAAAAUGGUAAAAGUAAAUCGAUGGAAAAAAUGGAAAGAAUCAGAAACUUACCGUGAGUAUAUGUCCAGAAGAUGAUAGAUCCUACUGUUCCCCAAUCACCAUGAUGCAGCUCACAACCAUGAACGAUAUCAGGGCUUAUGGAGGACAUUUCAUGUGGUUUGUUUUUGAAGAGCUCAUGAAACAUAUCUCCAUUGGACUUAAUUUCGAUUUGGAAAACCAGUUUACCAGUUAGACUCAUUUCUUCAGAGAUCUAUUAACCAAGAAACGAAGACUGAUGAAAGCAAGGGGUUAAAAAUGGUUUAGGCAUGAAUAAUUGAACAUGAAUUUAUAUCAAUGAGAAAAAAUGCUGUUUUCUUUUCGUUUGUUUACAUGUCGCUUUCGCACUAUCUUACUUCAUAGAUCAUGCACUAGUGCAAUGUACUAUCAUUUAUUAGAUACUCUGACUAUUUUAGAAUAUAAAAUUUAUAUGGAUAUUGUUAUAGAAUUAGUCUGGGGGCUAUUUGAUUCUAUACAAGAAGUUUUGCAAUCCGUACUGUUAGUGAUGUAGAUUUUUCGCUUUAAUCCAAGUAAAACAUACAAAGGAUUCUUCUUCUUGCUUGGGAGAACAAAAAGUUCUAAAGAGAAAAAAAAAAAGAGCAAAAGCCCUUUUGCCAUCCCCAGUUCGGAAGUCUUAGAGCUGCCCAUGGAGUAUGGAAAAUACUUAGAUUAGCAGUGCAGCCAUCAAAGAUCCAUAUCACCAAUUGUGACUACUUACAUGGCAACAUGGUUUGUAAAUAAGCUCAUAAAUCGUGGAUCGUUCAAGAAUUUUCCAUAAAGUAUAGAGGCUUUGAAUAGGCGAGCAGUAAAUCCUAGCCUAUGAAAUUUGGACAGGAUAUACAGUUCAUAUGUUUAAUUGUAGCAAAUAUAUCUUUCAUAAGUACUUCAUUUAGGUUAUGUGUAUAUGGUAUGGGAACUAAAAUUGCCAUUUACACACUUUCAUGAAUUAUUUUCAACUUUGGUGACGCUCGAUUCAAUUUGUAAACGAUUUUUAUGAUCAAACAAGGUAACUUUUUGUUUCGAAGAAAUAGAUCUGCAAUCUUACUAAAAUUCUUUGGUCAUACUUAAACUGUUAAUCUAGUAUAGGGACUUUUUAAUGUAUAAUACAGGGUUCAAGAAAUUAUGAACAAAAAAAUACAAGUGAUCGAAACAAAUAAAGCACUUACAAAAAAAUAAAUUAGGGCAAAAUAUAUUUUACACCCUUAUGGUUUAGCGAUUUUUUACAUAACCCCAAUAUAGUUUCAAAAGUUAUACAUAAUCCCUUUAUACUUUAAAUUAAAGUAUCAAGAUGACGGAAUUUGCAUUCCAUAAUGGAACCAAUUAAAAUGUCAAAAGUAUUCCUAUGUAAAGUUAAAAAUUAUUUAUUAACUAUGAGGGGAUUAUAUAUAUAUUUUGAAAACCAUAAAAGGGUUAUAUGAUAAAAUAGUAAACCAUAAGGGAAUUAUAUGGUAAAAUAUAAAACCACAUAGGGUUAGAGUGUCAUGCAUAUUAUGUUUAUAUAUUUUGGUAACUUCAACCAUUUUUUUUAAUAAAGGUAAUUUUGGCAUUUUCAUGGGUUCCAUUACAAAUGAUUAUUUUUGUUAUUUUGAUACUUUAAUCAAAACUAUAAGGGGAUUAUAUAUAACUUUUGAAACUAUAGGGAGGUUAUGUGAAAAUUUGCUAAAUCAGAGGGAAAUAAAGUGUAUUUUGUCCAAUAAAUUAAGUAAAAGUUAAAUAAGUAAAAUAUUUAGAAGCCAAGGAGGCUUUUUGCCUAAUGAUUAAGAUUAAAACUCUAGAAAUUAGAAAUCUUAAAUUAAGAUCUCCCAUCUCUCCCUCACGUCUUAAUUCUCACCCCUCCCCAGAUAAAAAAAAAUUAAAAAAAUAUAAAAUGUCAUUCCAUGGAAGUAAUUUGUUUGGAGCUCAUUCUUCCCAUGAUAGAGUUGAGCUUGUGAAUCAGUGAUGCAUUACAUCUCUACACUCCCCAACACCUUAUUGUUUAUCUAUAACAGUCAUGAGUCUUUAUCUAGAGACAGCAGGAAGAAAGACAAGUUAGAAGAUUUGCCAAAAAUGAAUAUUAAACCUUGUAAUAUUCAGCAAGGGGUGCAAAAUAUUCAGAGAUGCAUGAUUGACAAUACAUAACUUGUAAAUGCAGAAUUCCAUUAAGCAAAUAUUAUCAGUAAACUCAUAAUUAAGCAAAUAAAGUAACAAUGUGUCCACCAUCCUCAGAUCUUUCUGGGCCACAAUAUAAUCGCCCCUCGAAUAUGAUAGAUUACGAGUUAUUAAUUAUUCUUAAACUGUUUAUGAGUAUAAUAUUCUCGUAGAAGUUACUGUGCAUUAGGAUAUAAUUAUCCACUCAAUUCACUGUCAAUUGAAUUUUCUGCUUUCCAAUUGAUUACAGAAUUUACAUAUACAAAUCACAAAUAAUUUUUAUAAGUUUGUAGCGAUAAACACUAAGGUGCCUCGAUGAUAUGGCCACUCUUUGGAAGGAUCAUCUCCAAGAUAGGAGAGUACAGUCUUAUUGCCAUUGACUAGUCAUGAUCACCAAGAUGAACAAUACAUGGGCUCUUAUUUAAUUGAUAAGAUCCAACAGCUUUAUAUGUCUGCCCUUCAAAUUAAUUAAUGUACCCAAACAAUUAAAUGGUAGUUGCUAGGCAUACAUUUGUGGCUAGUAUACAUGGCAAUGGGUUGGCUGAAAAUCUGUGAUAUAUAUAUAUAUAUAUAUAUAUUCCAAUUACAAUUUGUUGAUACAUGCCUGCACAAGUUUAAAAAAUGAAAAAAAAUAUAUAUAUAUUUUUUGUGUAGGAGACCAAAAUCAAGACACAUAAAUAAAUUAAAAAAAAUGACUUUCAAGGAACAAAACUCUUUUCCUAAUGCAUGACACCUGAUAGAAAAUGACUUAUGUAUUUGUGCUGAUUGUCCAAGGAAAAAAUAAAACUAGGUAAGAGAGGGGCAAGACAAGGAAAAAUUUCAUGAUAUACCAAUACUUCUGCUAAUCGGCACAGCAGGGCAAGGAUCUUAAGAAUGAAUAUAUGAAUUCAAAUUCAAUUAUUCAAAAAAAAUAAAUAAAUGCAAGACUAAAUCGAAAUGAGACCUCAUAGUGUAAUAAUAUCUGUCAGGCCCUGAUUCUCAAUAUCUGUCUCUUCAAUUUACUCUGCAAACUUAUUUAAUCACAUUCUUAUGAAUAAGUACUCCAAACAGUGGACUGACCUUUGAAUCAAAAGGUAACUGAUAAAGAAUGCUAUGAAUCGAUCAAAUAAAUCAACAUAUAACUAAUUUAUUGAAUUAGAGGAAACAAAGUUUUCCAAGCCAUCACAAUCGAUGUCCGCCAAUAAUUCAGCAGACAAUCUGCCAGCAGAAAUUUAUGAAUCGAUCAUACCAAAAUUAUCACUCAACUUAUUUCGUGCCCAUUUGACUAAACAUUGUAUAGACAAAAAAAAAAAUCCAUGGCCCGCAAUUUUAUUUGAUAUAUUCACAAUGUCAUUUUUCCCCUCUUUUACUGGCUUUGGGCUUCCUUUUUUAUAUAUUUUCUUGACAACAACUCUUAUCACACGUAUCAUGGCAUUUUUAUUGAGCUUGACGUCAAAUAAAUAUUCAUCAUAUCCUUUCAUUGGAUGCGACGGCAGAGAAAUUGACUCUAUAUUAUUACUUCGUGCUUGAAGACGGUAAAAUAAUAAGAUUUAGAUAAGCACAAAAAAAAAAAAAGGAGAAGUUGGUCUACUACUAAACUUUGAAAUUAUCAUUCAUCUCUUGAAUUGUAACACUUUCACAAUAAAAGUUUUUAUCCUUUUGGACAAAGAAUAAUGCCACACCAACUUCUUAUCUGUUGCACUUAAGGCGCUAAAUAGACGAACCCAAAAAAUAAAUGCUAAAUGAACGUAUUUUCUAGCUAUCUAUAUCUAUCUCCAUGUUAUUAUGAUAUCCAACAAUUUGCAAUUGUGAGGUUAGCUACAGCCUGUGGUGCGUAUUUUUUUGGCACAAUUGGUGGUUUCCUUUAUUGUCACUAGUCAUAAUAGAAAAAACAACUCACUCAUGUUUGGAUAUAUUAUUACUUGAAAAAAAAAAAUUAUACUUGUAUCAGAAGCACAUUUUUUCAUUUUAUUUUUAUCUUUCGAAUUUUUUCUUUAUUUCACAAACUUUACAUACAUUGUUAUUAAAUUCAGCCCAUAUAUCAACCCAAUUCAGUAACUAGUUCAAUGGGAUAUUGGUUCAACCCAGGAUUCACUGAUUGACUCGAUGGUUGUAUUAUAUAAUAAAAUAAUGUAUUUGGAUUAUUAAAAAUAAUAUAAUCAUUUAACAAGUUGUUGAACCGCCAAUUUUUUGAGAUUUUACGAAUUGAAUUGAUAAACCAUUGACUAGUUAAUGUGCUCCUCUCUUAAUUGAUCUAACUACUUACCUAGCCCGAUUAGGUAGCUAGUUCACCAAGUUGUCUAGUUGAACCUAGGGGUGUAAUCAAACCAACUCGCGAGCAGCUCGGUCAAAAAUUUGACUUGAACUCGGGUUGACCGAGUUCGAGUCUAAUUCGAGCGCCUCUAUAAAGCAAACGAGUCGAGUUCGAGUAUUCAGAAGCAACGCUCGAGAGCUAGUCGAGUCUUAUCGAGUUUUUUAAUUUUAAUUCUUUAAUAUAUUAUUAUUAUAAAAUUACUCUUAUAUCCAAAAUAGUUAUUGAAUUUACGAAAUGUUUCAAGUCGUAUAAAAAUUUUAAAAGAGCAAUAAUGUCUUUUCACUAAAAAAUUAUCAAGAAAAUGAAAUUUUGUAGCUCGAUAAGGCUCAAAUUGACUUGAACCCAUGCGAGUCGAGCUCGAGUUCUACGAGCAAGUUUCGAACUCGAGUUCGAGUUCCAAUAAUACUACUCGCUCGAGAGUCGAGAUCGAGUAUGGCACUCGAUUACAUCCCUAGUUGAACUGUCAAAUUGUGUCAUGAUUAUAUCAUAAAAUGUACUAUAACAAUUAUUUCAAAUAAUAUUUCGAAUAAUGCCUUCAUCAAAUCUCCAAACAGUGACUUUCGACUGACUUUCGAGCCCAUUGUUGUUGAAGCAUACAAUUCGUUGUAGGAACUAUCCCAAAAAACAAAAAGAAGGUUGGAACUAUUAAUUCAGGGAGGAUAAAUCAAACAAAAACAAAAGUAUAGAUUUGGUCCACGUAGGCAAGAUUAGAUAUGACUGGUAAUUGCUACAGCUACCGAAACAUCAAUAGAUAGCAACAUUUCAAGAUUUGAUAGUACAAUCCUAUCAAUUGAUUACGAGGACCGUCGAUUGAUAGUAAAUUUUUCCGUCAUUUUUGUAACAUGAUAAAAAUUUUCUACACAGUAUACAGUAAAAGAAAAACGCCAAUCUAUGAGUGAAGACUACUCGUGAAAUAUGUAGUACAAGAAUUUGAAGUUUUCUACUUUUAUCUGUCGGAUUUUUGCUUUUUACUUUGGUGCAUUUGAAUUGUAUGUUAAUGCAGGGUCAGUUAGCUAGCCAUGAAGAACAUAUAAUAGCACUAUAUGUAUAUAAGGUAUUUGGAUCCUACUUCUGAUGUAAGGGCCAAAUUGGUGAGUAAUAUCUAAGUACCGUGUAACUGAUUUAUAGUUUCAAGAGCAUAUUCUAACUUUCGAUAAUGAUCGGAGUCGAAACUAUCCAAACUUUAUUCUUACAAAAAACGAAACAUAAGAGGAAAAUAUUUUUCACGGAAAACCUGACUUCUUUUUGUAACGAGCUUUGUAACGAAGAACUCAUUGUUCUAUAUGGCGAAGUAUCCAUUACGGCACUGUAUUAUGCACCACAACCUAAUUUAUGAUGUGCUUCUGCUUCUCAUGCUCUUGGUCUAAUUCUAUUUUUUCUUCACGAGAUAAGAAAAACAAUUCCCAACGUAGACAUGAAAUAAAGUUAAAUUGAAAUGAGUUACUAAUAUGUUUGGUUACAAUCUUUUAAUAUUGAAUCGAUUUCACACAUCCGGGUAUCUAAGUUUAACUUAUUUUAUGUUGUUUUAACAUUGUCUGAUUUAGAUGCACGAUUGUAAUGGAGGAAUUGAGAGUUAAAAAAAAAAAAAAUGGUUUCACUUACUGAGGGGCUGCUUGGUUAAAGGGUUUGGGAAUCAAAUAAUGGAAUGAACCCCUUAUUUGUUGCUUGGGUUAAGUCUAUUGGAAUGCAAUUUCUGGAAUCAUUUCUAAAAAAUCGGACUUUCACCAUUCCUGAGUAAAUUGGGAGGUUUUGGACAAAACCCUCAACUCAUUCCCGAGCAAAAACAUUUAUGACGAACCUACCCUCUUUUUUUCUUCAUUACACGCCGCAUCUUCUGUUCUUCUUCUUCAUCAGAUUUUCUACCUCUUCUACUUCACCGGUUGGACAACCAUAAAGAUCAGUGGCUUUCGACUCUCCUUGGACAACGAAUUCUAGAGUUGAAGAGUCUUCUACUAGGGUGAAUUCCUUGAUCCCAGGUUAGUGGAUUACAAACUCCCUUGCCUCUGCAAUUUUCUUUUCGUAUGCAAGCUUUUCUCUUUCUUCUUCUCUGUUUUUUCAGGCUACUCACUGGGUAGCUGAAAAUAAAGAAGAAAAGAAGGGAAUCUGAUACAAUAAAACUAACUAGACCAAAAUUGGUUGUAAUACAUGUAUUUGAAUUCACUUACUUCAACAAAUACAUUAUUUUGUUCUUUUUUUUGGUGAGAUAAAUGUUAAUGUCACUAGAUUUGUCAUUUUUAUGGUUUUAAUGUGUUUUCUUGGAUUACGCAUUCAAUGGAGGUCAAUCAAUUCUUGAUCUUUUGGUUAUUUGAUCCGUGAAUACUGGUAUAGUUUGGGUGGGUUUCUACAUGCCCUGUACCUGUUUGUAAAAUUGUCUGCUUGAAUAGCUUUCAGUUUCAUAGUUAUUCGUACAUUAGGAUUUCAAGUUUCAACCAUCAAUUUCAUUUGUUUAUGCUUAUUUAUAUCUAUACAUCAUUGUGUUUUCGGAUGUUUGAUGCAUGUCUAGGCCCUUUUAAUAAGAUCAAUUGAUGUUUAAUGCAUUUGAAGAUUUUGAUGCCGUAAUCUAGUUUGGUGAAUACUUACGUUUGGUUGUCAUAUUGUUAUGUAGACAAAGAUGCCACGUUUGCCUAUUGAAAACAGAAGACGCAAAAAAUAUCGAGGGCAAAGCCAGAUUUUAUCAGGAAUGAUAAUGGUUGUUAUUGCACUGUUUAUGAUGUGGUACCAGUUAAUAUUCAUACAUCUCAAAAGUAGAAGACGCCAAAUAAAAUCAAAAGAAGAAAAAGUCACUGAGCGCAUGCAACACUUAUUCAAUUUGACUAGGGAGAGUGAUGCUUAUUGUAUUAGCGAACUUCGUAUGGAUAGACGAACAUUUGGGAUAUUAUGUGAAAUGAUUAGAGACACUGGAGGUUUGAAAGCUAUAAGAAACAUGUCAAUAGAAGAAAUUGUUGCCAUGUUUGUAUAUGUUUUGGCUCACCACAAGAAAAGUAGAACAAUUUGUGGUCUAUUUUGGAGAAGUAGAGAAACGGUGAGUCGUCAAUUUAAUCUUUGCCUCCUAGCAGUUUUGAAAUUGCAUACUAUAUUACUUAAGAAGCCUGAGCCUAUUACCGAAGAUUGCACAGAUGAGACAUGGAAAUGUUUUAAGGUAAUUCAAAUAUUAAAAUACAAUCAUUUAAUAAAAUGUAUGUUUUCAUCUAAACUAUCCAAUAUAGACAUUUUAACUCAUUUAUAUUUUUUAUUUUUGUUAAAAUAGAAUUGUUUAGGUGCCUUAGAUGGGACAUUAAUAGAUGUGACACCACCCACCGAACAAAAAUCAAGAUACCGAACGAGAAAAGGAAGUAUUGCAACGAAUGUAUUAGGGGUUUGUUCUCCUAAUAUGCAAUUUAUCUAUGUCUUGCCUGGUUGGGAAGGUUCGGCACAUGAUGGUCGUGUGCUUCGAAAUGCUAUCUCUAGACCAAAUGGUCUUAGAGUCCCACAAGGUAAACAUAUAUUGCAGUAUUCAAUACCAUUCAAUCAAUUUUUUUUCGAAAAUAAGGUAGUCUAGUAUUAAUUUGUACAUGAUUGAAUUUUGAAGGUUGUUAUUACUUGGUGGAUGCUGGAUAUUGUAAUGCUGAUGGAUUUCUUGCCCCUUAUCGAGGGCAAAGAUAUCACCUUAAUGAAUUCAAUGGUUAUCGACCACAAAGACCAGAGGAAUAUUUCAACAUGAAACAUUCUAAAGCUAGAAAUAUCAUAGAAAGAUGUUUUGGAUUACUAAAAGGAAGGUGGAAGAUUCUAGCAUCCCCUUCAUUUUUUCCAAUUCAAAGACAAGUGCGAAUAAUUAUGGCAUGUUGUCUGCUGCACAACUUGAUAAGGAAGUUCAUGACUUUUGAUCCACAAGAAUUACUACAAAGUGAAGAAAAUGAAAGUGAAGAUGAAGACAGUGAUGAAGAAGUAGAGUGUAUAUCCACUAUUUUGCCAAGUGAUCAAUGGGCAAAUUUUAGAAAUAAUUUAGCACAUGAAAUGUUUGACAAUUGGAGGGCUGGACUUAGUAUUUAGCUAUGAAUGGAUGUUUAGCUCUUAGACUUAUUAAAUUUGGAUUGACAUUUGAUGUACUCUUGUAGUGGAUUUGUGAAUUAGAUUGACACUUGAUGUAUGUUCUUUUAAAUUUGGAUUGACUUUUAAUUGUAUGUUCUUUUAUGUGUUUUGUUAUAUUAUAAAUUUCAGUUAUAUGCUAUUGUGUAUCAAAAUUAAUUGAUAUAUAUGGGUUGACUUCUAAAUGAUAGGAUGGAGAAUGAUGAAAUUGUACGUGGAAGAGGGAAAAAUAAAUGUUUUUGGACUGGUGAAGAGGUAAAAGUGCUCAUAGAAUCAUUGCAAGAGUUGGCUUGUGAUCCAAUGUGGAAAUCAGAUGGAGGAUUUAAAAAUAAUUAUAUGAGCGAAUUGCUUAAAAUUAUCUUGCGUAAGCAACCUACUUUUACCAAACAAGUCAGCCCACAUAUUGAAUCAAAAGUUAAGUGGCUGAAAAAUAGGUUCCAUGCAAUUGUUGAAAUGUGCAAAGAAAGUGGUUGUAGUUGGAAUGAUGCUGAGAAAAAGAUUUCUUGUGAAAAACAGUGGUAUGAUGAUUGGUGCAAGGUAAGAAAUUGAUUACUUUUUACAUUCUGAUAUGUUCUUUUUCAACCUUUUAUUAAGAUUAUCAUUUAUCUUUCUAUUCUAUCUCUAGACUCAUAAGGAUGCGAAGGGCCUUUGGGAUGUCAAAUUUCCAUAUUUAGGAGAUCUUGAAAUUGUAUAUGGAAGAGACAGAGCCACUGGAAAUGUUGCUGAAGAUUUUGCACAAGCUGUCCAAGAUAUGGAAGAUGUCCAAAAUUUGGAGGAAGGACAUGAAGGGCUUGAUGCUAUGUCAAACUCGGAUAAUGAUAAGGUAGAAGAAGAUGAAGUAAAUUCCAUAGAGCAAUCAACUCAACCAAGCUCAACAAGUACAAGAAAUUCCAAGAAACAAAAGAAACAAUCCCCUCCCAUUGCAAAUGUGUCAAAAAAAAUGAAAUCUGCAUCAACAACAAGGGGUGAUCUUGAUGCAUCAUUGCAACUUCUCACCAGCAAAUUUGGAGAUUUCGUGGAGGGAAUUCAAGCUAAUUUCACAACUAUGGCAGCAGCCAUGUCAAAUGAGGAUAAACGUGAGCAAUUGGUCUCCGAUAGAAGAGAUCAAGUUGUUGCUGAGUUAAUGAAACUUGCUUUACCGAGUGGAGAUGUAAUGAAUGCAGCCGACAUACUUUCGGAGCAGAUUUCCAAGCUUCAUGUGUUCUACAAUCUUCCUGCAGAAAUGAAACGACAAUAUGUAAUUAACCUCCUUUAUCCUCCAUCUACUCGCUGAAGUAAAAUUAUUGUUAGCUGGAAAGUGAUGAUUUGAUGGCAAUUUCUUUUUGUUAUGGUGAUUGUUAGAUGGUUAUAUGAUUAGUCUUUUGGAGAUUGUGGACAUUGAAUGGCACUCUCGACUGGAUUAGACAAUUGACUUGUAUUUGGUAUGGUUAGCUUUUGUGAUUUGAGUCUCCUUCUUUUGUUCAUAUAUGUAAGGAGAGAUCUAUUUCAUAUCAUUAUCUAAUAUAGGAACCACAAAUGACUUGUUAAUGGAGUAAAUUUCCAAAAAGAAAGAGUUUUUAAACUAACUUCCUAAAGGCUGGCAAUUUUUAAGUCUCUUCCCCAAGGGUGAAAAACACAUUCAAGAAAUGUGUUCUUCCAAAUAAAAAUGCAACUUUCAAAUACGUUAUUUUAAUUUUCGUAAAUUUGUUUAAAUAUAAAAAAUUGGUUAAAUAGCGUAUUAAAUACAAAACCUGCUAAUUUCCUAUAAAGAGCUGGUAUCUUAUAAGUAAUUUCUUUUUUUUUUUUUAACUUUCACAUAUUUAAUUUAUGUUAAAUACAAAACAUACUAGUUUUCCUUUGGGCGCUAUUUAAUCAAUUUUUUCCAUAAAGAAUUGGUAUGUUUUCCAUAAAGAGUUGGUACAAAACAUACUACAAAACCUGUCAGUUUCCUUUAAAGAGCUGGUAUCUUAUGGGCAAUUUUGUUUUUUUAACUUUCACAUAUUUAAUUUAUGUUAAAUACAAAACAUACUAGUUUUCCUUUGGGCACUAUUUAAUCAAUUUUUUCCAUAAACCUGGUACAAAACCUGCCAGUUUUCCAUAAAGAGCUGGUAUCUUAUGGGCUAUUUAACCAAUUUUUCAUAUUUAAAUAAAUUUCCAAAACAUAAAAUAGCGUAUUUGAAAGUUGCGUUUUUAUUUGGAAGAACACAUUCCUUGGAUGCAUUUUUCACCCUUUGGGAAGAGACUAAAAAAUCGUCACCUUUUGGGUGAUUGUUUAAAAACUCCUUUUUUUGGGAAUUUACUCCUUGUUAAUGCAGCCACUAUAUUUAUUUUCUGGUAUUAAUUUUUUUAUUAUUUAUGAUUUUCUUAUGUUUUAUCAAAAAGUUAAUAACUAUUGUAGUUACAAUUAUGAAAUGUUAAUUUGUCGUAUGUGUAAUUCUUUUGUUUUAGAAGAAUUGUUAUAUCAGGGGUAAAUUUGGAAUUUAAUUGCAUUUAAUUCCGAAACACUCAUCAAACCAAGCAUCAGGAAUUGGAAUAAUGCUAAUUCCAAUGUGUGAACCAAGCAAGAUAUCGGAAUGAAAAGUUUUAAUUCCAAAACCAGAGUCUAUGAUUCCAAUUACAAUUCCAAUUCCUAAACUUGAACCAAGCACCCCCUGAGUUUCUCUUCAGCUACUGGAUUAGUACCCCAAAAAAAAAAAAAAAUUCAUUAUGGGCUUUUGGUUUUAUAAUUCGCCAUUGCAGUAUGUACCUGAAAUUAUGCACCUUCCCAAAAAGUCCAAAUCCUUCACUCUCAUGGGCUUUACCUGGGAUUGUUCUAAAUUUUUUUAACUUCCUUAUGUGGAUGCUGAACAAGUAGUAAAGUACAAAUGAAGCAUCUUAAGACCAUAGAGGUAUGGCCGUUAACAAAAGAAAUUCGAAGGAACAUAUCAUUUUGGGUAUGAAAUAGGGGUUUACAUGAGUCUACUUAAACUAAACAUGUUAAUGUUCAAAUUUGAUUGAUUAGUUUAUUUGCCAUACCGAACUCAAAUAAGCUUUUAUCAUACUGAGAUUGAGUAUCUUGAAUUUUUACAUGUAAAUUUUAAGUUUUACACCAAUUGAGUUAGAUUCCAAUUGAAGUCGAAACUUUUCUGAGCAAAAAAUAUGAUUCAUAUUUGGCUUGAUUAGUUGGUUACUUAAAUUCAAAUGAGUUUUUACAGUGCCAAAUUUGAUUGGAAUACUAAGUAGGUAAUUGUGGAUGAUGCAAUGCUUGGAAUAAUACUUGACCCUAUUUGAAAACCUAGGCCCUAUUUGACAACUCAAAUCAGCACUUAAAAUUAAUAGAUUCAGAUUUUAAUAUAUUCAGAUGCAUUUAAUAACAAAAAAUAGAACUUUUGAAUUAAUUAAAUGACACUAAAUUUUUUGGGUAAAACUUGUUCUGAAAAAAUAAGUAAUAAGCUAUUGGGUUAUCAUUUAAUGUGAUAUAUACUUAAAUUUAUCAAAUUUAGUAUUUAGCAGUUCAGUAAUUUAAUAGAUUUAGAUUUCAAAGUUUAGAUUUUAGUUUUCAAAUUUUAGUUUUAUUAAACACGCCCUUAGGAAGCAUUUCUAUAAAUAUUAACUUUCCCUUUAUUAAAAGGGAAGGUAAUUGUGUAAUUCACAAGUUGGCAAACUUUAGCUUCAAACUUGUGAAACUUUGUGGAAGGCGUCCUUCCGUCCUUUGAUUAGUUGGAUUAGCCAAAGAUGAUAUAGGAGCUGUUGCUCCAAUUAUGUAACUACUUUUUCCAAUGGCAAUACAUUUCAGUUGUCAUUUGCAAAAAAAAAAAAAAAAAAAUCUUUCAGCUCUAAUUGAGAGAGAAAUAAAGUUUUAUAGGAUUUUACUCAUUAAAACAAUUAUCGAUAAAUGGAACGCUGAACUUUGAAGCUCGAUGUUUAUACAGAAUGAACAAUCAUGGUUAAACAAUUCACAAAUGUUUGAUAGGUAUCAACAUGAACAGUUGCGAUGGAGGUCUUAUAUAACUCCAGCACAUCUCCUUCAAU